GUUUUUCUUGCAUAAAGUAUGAGCAUCAUUAAAAUGAGGAAUAUUAAGUUUUGUUGAAGUGAUUUGUUGCCAAAACAUGGGAGGAUGUUGGAAGAUGUUAAAGGAAAAGAAUGCUUUUGGAUAGAAACGAAGAAAGAAAAUUGACCUGACAGCAAGAAGUAAGAGUCGAUAUUCAAAGGCCAUGAUAAAUUAACUAAACAACUUGUUGACGUUGAAGAAGAAAGAAAAUUAAACAUCAAAUGCUAAAAUCCACUUGUUUCAUUACAUAAACUUCAAAUUUAUUCUCUUAUUGCCUAAAGCAUUGCUGGUGUCCUAACUAAUGCCCCCCCUGGAGCUCUCCACGCGCUUAUUCCUAAUAAUCUCCCAUGCUCGAUGCUCUACUUCUUCAUCAUUUCACCUGCACAUAAAAUGACAAAAUAAGUUGCAGGAUUGAAAGAAAAGGUAAGCGGGAAGAAUAGAGCAGAUAUCAAUUAAAAAAUAAAAGGAAAGAACCUUAAAAUGAUGCAGCAUGCUAAAAGAUCAAAUUUAUCAUUAAAAAAAACAUCAGAGACCAUUUUGAUGCCCAGUUUGCUGAUAAUUUUAUGACCUUGAAUUGGAAAGGUUGAAAAUAAAGAACCUUCAGGGUGGCCUAAAGUGACCAAAAAAAAAAAAACCUCAGGGAGGGUUUUUUGAGAAAGAGAGUUACAUGGUUCAAAGUUGGCUGAGCACUUGUCAGGAAGCUGCAAGGCCAUGUUCCGGUCAACACCAGAAAUCGGAGGGCCAUUGACAAGAGUACACAAGCAAGGCUGGCCGAGAGCUUUCACAGCACUGCAGCAGAGCUCACUUGGUUGGAUAGGACUAAACGGAGCAACUGCUGCCCUGCAAGGUAUCAAUUGGAUGAGUGCGGAGAAGAAAGUGCUACCACAAGGAUGUGCUUGGCCGUGCUCCGCCACUACUGUCAACAUCAGCACAAGUACCAGGAAGGGCAGAACCUUGACACCGCAAAUCUUCACCAUCUUUGAACUGGGAUAUCUCCUUGAUUAAUGAAUAUUGUUUUCUUACUGGAAUAAAUUGGUCUCGAAGAUGUUCUAUAUAUACAUACAUAGCAAGCGAACUCAUGCUCGCUUGCACACCAUUCCUAACCCAAAAGCUACAGUGUUCAUGCGAUUCUUGUGUCAGCUCCAGAAGUACUGUUGGUGUGCUGAUGGAAACAGUUGGGGGAUUCAAAUUUCAUGACUCCUAGCAGUUGUUCAAUUUUAAUGUCUGAAAACCCAUGUCUCUUGCAAGGACAACAAAGUACUUUAGAAAUUUGGAUUGCUCAUAUAAGGAAAGCUACAAUUGAUGUUUACUGAAAAAUAAUUUUUUUUUAAAAAAAGUGAAUUUCAGAAAAACAAUUUAUUUUUUUAUGUUUGAUAAUGUAAUGAAAAAUAAGUUAGAAAAUAUUUUUCAGUUUUUAGUUAUGUCAUGGAAAAUGAGCUGGAAAAUAACUUAUUAAUGUUUUAUUUUUUUCAAUUUAUUAAAAUAAUAAGGAAUAAAUCUUACAAAUUAAAAAGUUAAAUGAGAAUGAAAUUGAAAAAAAAUAUAAUUUUAUAAAUUAUCUCAAAUAAAAUAAAUAAUAAUCAAAAUAAUAUAGAUCAAAUCUAAAAAAUAAAAAACUUAAAAGAUGAAGAAAUUAAAAUAAAAAUAAUUAACAUUUCAUAAAUUAUUUCAAAUAAAAUAAGUAAUAAUCAAAAGAAUAAGGAUCAAAUUUGAUAGAUAAAAAAUUUCAAUUAAAAAAUAAUAAGGAAAAAGUAAAUAAUAAUUAUAAAAAUGAGGAUCAAAGUUAAUAUAAAAAUUAAAUUCUAAGGGAUGAAAUUGAAAAACAAAUAUUCAGAACAAAAUAUAUAUAGCAAUCAAAAGUUUGAGGACUAAAUUUGAUAUAAUUAGCAAAUAAUAUGAUUUUUUUAAAUUUUUCAUAACUUACAGAAAGUGUUUUCCACUAAAAAAAAAAAAACACUUCCCGAAAACCAAGCCAAAUUUUUUUUUAAUCGAAAAGUGUUUUUCAUUAACCGAAAAAUGUUUUCCAUUAAUAAAUUUUUUAAAUGGCAAACAAACAAUGAAAAAUUUAAAAAAUAUAUUUUUAGAAAUUAUUUUUCAAUAAACAAAGUUACCGUUAGGUUAACAACUUGCCUCGGCCACAGCAACCGAUCCAUUCUUCCUCUUGAGUGAGUGAUCUUCAAUCUGUUUAAUUGCAUUUUCACAACAACUAUGCUUCAAUCAUUAUUUGCUAUCCCAGACAGUUUAUCAACGAGCUCAUUGAGUUUCUUAACCCAUAAUCAGAGGCUUAUCUAAUUCCAAAUUUGGUUCUAAAACAGAAACCAAUAGAGUCCCACCAAGAUAAAACAGAGGCUGUGAAGCAAAUUCAAAUUCCCUUUGUGUCCUGAUCAGAAAACCAUGUCCUGGUCAAAUGAAAUGACUCCAGAGCCAUAUCCCAAACAGCCAUUCAGAAAUGUAAAACAUCUAUUUCCAAUUGAAAUUUAUCAUUUAAACAGAUCUUUCAGGUCUGACAUCAGUACAUUUGCACUAUGUAAAAUUAACUUUUCAGAAAAUGGGAAUGUAUCAGAAUUAUAUGCUAAGAAACGGAUAAUUAAAUGCUCCUAUCCCAAUAAAUAUCCGUUCUUUAUUGCAAACAAACCAUCCCAACAACCAUUUGGUGAUGUUUGCAUCUCUAGAACAAAAAAAAAUAGGACAAGUUAUCAAGAUUCCCCUUUGUUUCCUUUAAGGUUGAUCACCGCAAGCUCCUGUUCGACAAACUCUCCUGAGCACAUUAGUGGAUAUUUGCUGGCCAAUGGAGAUUCAACAAAAUGGCCUAAAGGCUUCAACACGGCAUCUGAUGCUAUGUGUGCAAAAAGCUGCAUAUGAUCGAGGAUAAAACAAGUAAGCACAAGAUUCUCUAAGAAAUGCAGUUUGCUCUUUAGAAGGUUGCGAGCACUGAGAUCCAAGAGGAUGAUGAUGGAGGAAAUGGUAUGCUUAGCUCCACUUACUGUUGAUGAAACUCUCCAAAGGCUGCGAUUUUGCUGUGAUGCUAAUUUGAUUGCAUCUAUUGUCCUGUUUGUGACAACAACUUCAUGCAUGCCAGCCAUGCAUUCUCCUGCAGUCAACCACUCUAUCUGCAAAUAAUGCAAGAUACUGUUAAGAUUAAAAGCCAGAUACAACUGAAGCCUAGGUCGUACUCAAGAAGUUGAUUAAACUGUCAUUCAGAGCUACAAACCACAAAUGCAGCAUGGAACUGGAAAAAAAAAUAAGUUAACUGAGCUGAACACUAAAUGGACCAACAACAAUAUAUUAUCUAAAUUAUCUUCCAAAUGUAAAUAAUUCCAUGUGAAUCGCAACAUUGGAUUGCUGGCUGUGUGUUCUAUAAACCAGAUAUAUGUUUCUUCUGCUUUCUUAAUGGAAGCUAGUAGCAUAUGUGACCUGAUAAUUAGAAUGAAAAUGAUACGUGAGAGUAAAUACUAAAUCACAAAGAGGGGAAAACAAUGACCACAAAGUCAAGGUUAAUCAUAACACUGCCAUCAAUAUCUUGCUCAUAAUUUUUCGUGUCUUAAAAAUUGUGUCAUCACUUUAUAUGCUUUUACCUGCUUUCCUGUCUGAAUGAGAAGACAUCCUGAAGGAACCUUCACUUCAAUUUUUUGCCCAUUCCUUAGCCAAAUGUUUAGACCGGGAAAUCUACUUCUGCCAUGAAUUGUUAGAAAGUUAAGGUCAUAAUGAUACCCUGCAAAGACAGUGCCUUCCUGACCAUAACGGCUGAGAUCACUCCCUGUUGGAGCAAGCAGAUGAGGUCCCUAGUGUUUACAGGGAGAAUGGGAAUUGUUAUUCAGUGCAUGAAGUUGUUAAUACUGGAAACAAAAAGAAAAUCAUAGAUCCUAAGACAUAAGUAAGAUAACAGCAUUGAGCUAAAGGGAGAAAGAGGAUAAAGAAUUAGUAAUGAAGAAGUUCCUACAAGAAAUUCGCACUCCUUGUCUGUUAAUAAAAUGCUAAAACAAAACAAUUAAGGUGAGACACUUGUCAAGCCUUUGGGGUUCAGCUCAAGUAGGAGGAAUGGGACAGGAUCUCCAUGUGUUCUAGGUUCAAUUGUCAUCAAGCCCGACAAAAGGAAUAAAUAAAUUGAAUAAAAAUACGGAAAGAAAACCAAGAAGACAGAGGAACAUGGCAUGAAAGUACAGGUAAAGAAGUUAAAGAUUGGAACACUUUACUAAAACAUAUAAGAUAUUAACAAAGAGCAGCCACUAAUAGGGAUCCUUACGACACCCAACCAGCAUUGAAAAUGCAGAGUCGAACACUUGCACCAAAAGUGAAAAAAAAAUGUUAAUCGUCAAACGAAAAGGCAUAGAAAAACAAAAAAUCCAUCAUUCUUUUGUUCAAUUUACAUUUCCUGCUUCAGUGCUAAAAAUUGAUCAAGGAGAAUAGAAAACAGGAACAUACACAAAAUUAAAAAGUUAUAUUAUCAAAAUUUUAACCUGUUUCAUAAGAGAAGUAAAUGCAUCCUUGGACAAACCAAAACCAAUUGCUGCCAUUUCAGCAACAGCCUGACAAAAAACAUGGCAUAGAGAACACUAUAAGAGAUAUAAUAGAAGACAAAUACAAUCAAGCCAACAAACCACAUAAAAAGAUUACCUCUAUUGCAGAGAUCAUUUUGCAACCCCAUGAGUCCAUAGUGUCUUUCCAUUCAGGAAAACCUUCAGGUAUUACAGGUUCUGAAUUAAGUUCCUAUCAGAAUGGGAUUGAAGUUAGCAAACAGUUAACUAGAGGACCAAAAUGUUAAAAGGGAAAAGAAUGAUCCCAUACCUUAAAGCGAGUGUUUGAUGGCCGAGGACCUACUCUCCACAUGUAUCGCCAUUUAGGAUCCGGGCCACUAGGAGUGGAUGGUUGGAACUCUUUGGGCAUUGCUUUUAACUUCUUUUGCAUCUCUUCAUCAACCAAGCUUCUUGGAACUUCCACUCCCUCAGGUGUCACUCCAACCUGAUAUCCCCAUUUCACAAAACGAUUCUUUUAUUUCUUUUUUUACAAAAAAAAUAACUAAAAUACAAUUUAACCACUGAAUUUGGGGCAAUAACAAAUCCUUCCACAUUCCCUUCCUUUUCCUUUAUGACUCCGAAGUCAGAAAAAGAAAACCUAUACUUAGUCUUUAAAACUUAAAACUAGAAAGAGAAGGCAACUUCUUGAACAAAACAGUUGUGAGUAUCUACCUUUUCAUUUCUUUGAUCUUCUCAAAAACCAAAAAACAACUAAACUACUGAAUACCAUUCAGAGUCCCUUUCUGGAACUACAAUAGUUCACAGCUUCAUCAAUCAUGAUGUGCUAUUCUAGAGUGGUGUUUCCAUAACAAAUCCAUAUGAACAAUUCUAGUCGCCAUCAACAUCCUAAAUCCCAACUAUUUUCAGCUAGCAAACAAAAACAGGAAUAAUAAAUCAAUAAUUCCUCUGCUUCAAACAACUAGCACUAAAAUUCGCAUUAGCAAUAUUUUUUUUGUUGUGGCAUUCAGUGAUAAAAAAAAAAUAUCCACCCUGUCAAACAAUUAGAUCAACUUGAACAAGGGGUUAUCAUCGUCGACAAUAUUCCCGAGGCGGUAACCAAACUUUUCCACUUUGAUAAAAUAGAAAGAAAGCGAUCUAAGCUUCCAAUUCUCUCUCACAUUACACAGAAACCAUAGAAAUCACAAUUCUCCGACUCCAAUUAUGCAAAGUAGGUAGGGACCCAAAAUAAAACAUAGCAAAAGAUUUAGAAGUGAUAAAUGUUCAAUACUCUUUCCCUUUCCAUUUGUCACGUUUCCUCCGCAACCAGACAAACUUGAUCGCCAACGUGGUAAUGCAAAUCCAGUCCAAUCACUAUAACCAAUACAGCCUAUCAGGUACUAAUCAAUGUUCCAAAAUUUUCCCCUCUAUUAUCAAAACCCGAUUCGAUAAAUUCCCUUCACUUUUCCCAACACUCUGAGAAACCAAAAGAAUUUAUCUCCCUACAUUCUCCUAAACAUCAUCUAAAUCAAACUCAAGAAACACUUUGGUUCCUAAAACCCCAAAUUCAAAAUCAAAACUUUUUCCCCACACUUCCUCAACUAAAACAUUCAAAACCCAGAACCAGCCCAAUUCCCAAAAUUUAUCAUCCAAUAUAAUCAUUCACAUUAACACCUUCGCAUCCUCAAAAUUCUCACCUCCCAUCCCAAAAAACAAAACUUUCUCUUCCUCUCACUUCAUCAAAAACCCAUAAACCAAAAACCCAAAAAACACAAUUAACAAAAAAAAAAAAACCUUCAAUGUACUACCUGAUAAUGCAAGUGAGAUCUUUCUUGCAGUAACUUGAACUCUCUAGGUCUUUCAAAGUACUUUUCCAUCAUAUCAAUAAACUUGUCAUUAUCUUCCGCGGUACAUCUCGGAUCCUUAACUACCAAAGCUCCAGUUUCUCUCAGGAUCUGACUCACUUCUUUACACAAUUCACUGAGCCAUGACCCGAAUUCUUCGAUUUGACCCGAUAAAAUAACCGGAUCAGUGCUCAGUUUAUCUGCGAUCUCUAAAUAUCUCGAGAGAUCAAUCACCGGUAUCUCCAUUUUUUUUUUUCUGGUUUUUGGUUUGUUUUCUCUUUUGGAUUUUAAUAGAAAGUGAGAGAGAAUGAUGAGACUGUUGGGUGUGGCGGGAUAGUGGGUUGCUUUUUUAUUUAUCAAGGGAUAACUACAUCUAAGCCAUCAAACUACUAAGUAUUUUGUUAUUACGUCCUUACAAGUUUCAAUACGCCCACUUUGACAGAUUUUUUACGGCAAUAUCAUCCUCCUUUUGACCAACAUUUCUCGGAUCUUCCUUAGAAAUGCAUACGAAUGGUUGUAACCAUUGCAUUUUCUAUCCAAAAAUAAGAAAUCUCUUUAUUUGAUGGGCACAAAUUUUGUCAUAAAUAGGUGAAAGAAAUAAUAAAUACUAAUACUAUCAUAAUUGAUGAAAUAUUUACCUUCUAAAAUUAAUUUAUGCACGUGUACAGGUGGUUGUGUCCACUGCAGUUCCACCCCAAAGGAUACUAAUUUCUAUUUAUUUCAAUAAUUCUUUCAUGUGCAAGUAAUUGAAGGUGUUAAAAAAUAACACACUAGGUUUGAUAAUCAAAAUAGAAAAGCACACAAUACCUUCCAUCUAAUAAACGAAAUGGUGUGAGAAACAAGGUUGUUAGUAGAGGUGAUUAUUUUUUGUUUGAUUUGCUUUGGUUUUUAUUAAAAAACAUAAUUAAAUUGAAAAUUUUAAAAAAAAAACUAAAACUAGUUCAAACCGAUCGAUUUUGGUUUUUUAUGACAAAAAUCAAUUCUAUCUUGGUUUUUUUGGUUUGAUUCGGUUUUUUUCCAGUUUUUUUUUGUUUGGUUUUUUUGAUAUCAGACUUAUAAAACUAAAAAGAACCGAAUCGGUUGAUUUUUAAAAAAUUUUAAUCGGUUUAAUCAGUUUUUUUCACGAUUCGGUUUUUUCAAUUAUUGUUAUUCCAGUUUUCUUAAUUUAAUUGAUUUUUUGGUUUUUUCUCACCAACAAUUAAAAAUAUGUUUAUAUAUCUCAAUUUGACUAUUAUUUAUUUCAAUUCUCUCAUCAAGUUGAUAUAAAAAAAGUAUUGGAGGAUACGCUAUAGAUUUUUGAUAUUCAUCUCUUAUUGCUCUACCAGUUCAAAGAGAGUGAGGUGUUUAGGCCUUUUUAUUUUUGCAUUUCAAAGAUGUUUUUGAAAAAAAUUGAAUUUUUUUCAUUAACUUCAAAUUAAUAUGUUUUUAAUAUUUUCAAAUCAUUUUGAUGUGCUGAUGUCAAAAUAAUUUUUAAAAAAUAAAAAAAAUUAUUAAUAUACAUUUUAGUAUGAAAAGUUAUUUAAAAAACAACCGUAACCACACUGUCAAACACACUUUUAGUAAAAUUGUCAUUAAUUAUCUAGAAUUAUGGGUUAAGAUGUAUGAUCUAGUAAUCAAAAUAGUGAUUUUUUAGAAAAUAAUUUAUGCAUUGGAUAUUGUUGGAUGGAAAUCUAGUUUUUUAUCAAAAGAAAAUGUUGCCUCGAAAUUGAUGUAUCAAGGGUGUAGCCGAAACGUUUGUAGAUGAAGGACCAAACAAUAUCUUGUGUAAUGGUCGGAGGACCGGUGUGCAGUUUACUUUAUUAUUAAAAUGGGCCGCGGUACAUGUUAGCAAAAGAGGAUUGUUUUGGUGGCGCUUGAGAUUCGUGCGGGAGUUCUCUUGCGUGUGACUGUAUCAUACGCAAAGCAGUUAUUCCUGUUACAUGCUAUCUGGACACGUGGAUGAGUGAUUGUCCCCUGUAAUUCAGAAUGCAGAUCACAUAAAAGAAAAGGAUCGUGUCCUUUGUUGGGUAAAAUUCUUGAUUUCCUUUUUAACCUCGUGGGUGAUAAACCGUAAAACAUUUAUGGAAGUUUUCGUGUGAAAAUGCCGAAAACCUAUUAUCUAAACAAUCUAUGUGUUUGGAAUGGAGUUUGGUGUAGCUUUUGAGGUUGUACAUUCUCACUGUAAUUUUAUCCCAACAUUCUCUAAAACCCUGAGAGUAGUUUCACUUUUCAUUUUAAACAUGUUAAUAUAUUAUAUUACACUUUUAUAUUAAAUAGCUUAGGUGGUCAGAGGAUGAGGAGUCACUUUUAAAAACACAAGAGAUGGGAAGGUGCGCGGGCCUCCUCGGCUACAGUACACAUGUCUGGCUUGGAUUUAUUUGGAAUGGUAAUAAUGAUACUGGUUAAAAUAUUUUUUAUUUAGAAAUAUAUUAAAAUUAUUUUUUUUUUUUAAAAAAUUAUUUUUUAUAUCAACAUAUCAAAACGAUAUGAAAUUAUAAAUUUUUUAAAAAAUUUUUAAGAACGCGAUACAAACCAUGUUCCCAAACACACCCUAGAUCGAGUUAAUACCAGUUUGUUUUUUAUUUUAUUUUUUCAAGUCAAUCAUUUAAAGCGGGACUUUUAUUACUUUAUAUUGGGUUUAUGGUAAAUUAUUAUUUUUUAUCCUUUAAUGAAAAAAAUUAAAUUGAUCUAAAUAUUAAUCAAAUAGUAGAUUGAGAGUUUUUUUGCUUUUUUUUUUAUUUUUUAGCUUUUUUAUAUCAAUUUCAUUGCUCGGUGUGAGAAUUAAUUUUGAUGUUUUCUAUUAUAUAAUAUAAUAAAAAAUAAUAAUUUAAUUUGGUAGAGUUCAUAACUCGUGUUACGGAGUUGUUAAGUUGACAAGAUAUCAAACCUAAAAUUAAAUAAAAACUUUUCAAGUUUAAAUUAUUAUAUCAAGCUCUAUAAUAAUAUCAAAAAGUUUUUAAUAAUCCAACUUUUUUUUUUUCAAAUAUUUGUAUUCAACAUGGAGUGAAGGUGCUUUUCAAAAAACUAGUAUAAAGUAAGAUGAAGUGGAGAAGUGAUGGUGAAUAUCUCUUUUUACCAUGAUGGUGAAGAUUUUUUAAAUUGAUGAUUUGAUGUAAACUUAUAUGUAGUUCGAAAAAUAUGUAAAAUUAUUUGAAAAGCCAUUAAUUUGUAUAUGAUAUCAAUUUGGUAAAUGGAUUAAAAGAUUGCUUAAAUUAAAUAAUAUUUUAAUGUAAAUAAUAUAUUUUUUUCCUUAAUCCUUUUAUAAAAAUUUAAAAGUUUUAUUAGUUUUUAAUUUCAUUAUUUAAUCUAAGUAUAUGGUAUGCUAUUGUUUUCAAUUUAGUUAUCAUUCUUUGAAUUUUAUUUUUUAUUUUUGUUGAAGUUAUUUUUUUUUAAUUUAACCUUUUAAUCAAAAACUUAUGUACCUUUUUUUUUAGUUUCUUAUUUUUACCAUUGUCUUUUUUUUUUGUAAAAGUUUAAUUUCUUUUAAAUCUAGUCCUUUAAUUUCAAUUCAUCAUAUAUAUAUAUAUAUAUAUUAGUUUAAUCCUUAUUCUUUUGAUUUUUAUUUAAUUUUUUGACUUUUUUUGUAAAAGUUUUAUCUCUUUUCAACCAAGUUCUUUAAUUUCAAUCUAUAUAUAUUGUAUUUUUAAAUUUGAUCCUUAUUAUUUUAAUUUUUUAUUUUUUUCAAAGUCCUUUUAUAAAAGUUUUAUUGGUUCUAAAUUUCACACUUUAAUGUUGUUUUAUUUUUUCAAUUUAGUUCUCAUUAUUGUAAUUUUAAUUUUAAUUUUUGUUAGAGUUAUUUCAUUUUCAAUUUAAUCCUCUAAUCAAAAAAUCUUGUACCUUUUUUUUAUUUUAUUCAAUCAAUUGAAUGUGUGUGUCUAUUUUUAUUAUCGCUUAAUUGAAUAAAAAAUUUAUUUUAAUUAAAAAAAUUAGUAAGCACAACCGUGUAAAUGUCACAUUUUAUGAAAUUAAAUAUCUUGAUUUAUAUAUUUUUUAAAUGUUUUUAAUUUUUAUUUUUAGUCAUCGUUUAUGGUACUUUUCACUUAUUAACACUUAGUUCUCAAUUUAUUUAAUUACAUAUAUAUAUAAUUUUUUUUAUUUUCACUUAGAAUUUUUUUAAAUAUAAAAUCACGCUGAAAAAGUCUAUAUGACAAUUUUUUUGUUGAGAAAAAAAAUCUAACCUAUAGUGAAAUGCGGGUCAAAUAUCUAGUAAAAUUAAAGAAGUGUGUUUUAUAUUGUAGUGUAGUGCCUUUCAGAAGUGAUUUUUACUUAAAAUAUAUUAAAAAAUAUUUUUUAAUAUCAGGACAUUAAAAUUAUUAAAAAUACUAAAAAAAUACAUCAAUUGAAUACCUUUUCAUGACAAAUAUAUUUUUAAAAUGUAUUUAGAGUCUAUUUGAUAUUAUGAUAGUAAUUUUUUUAAAAAAAAUACUUUAUUUUAAAAUUUAUUAAAACAAUAUUUUUUUAUUUUUUAAAAUUUAUUUUUGAUAUCUGAAAAAACACUAAAAAAAUAUAUUUUUUUUAAAUUUAAUUUUUUAACGAACCACAGUUAACCAAUUUCCAAACAUGUUCUUAAACGCAGUAACACGGAGAAAUUUCGCCGCCUCUCAGCCACUUCCUGUUUUGUGAGCUCUCCUGCUAAAACCUCAGCCUCUCUCUUUCUCUCUCUAAAACCCCUCUCCCCCCUUUUUAUACAUCUACUAGCAUCAACAUACACACAACUAACAACCACAACAACAUAUAGAGCUGCGAUUGGAUUGAAGCUUUUUUCGUCACUUAAUUGGUAAUACUAAUCAAUAAAGAAUGAAUGUUUAGUUCAUUUCCUUGAUAAUUUCCUUGUUUUUUAGGAACCCAUUUUUCAUUUCUUUCUUUCUUUUAUGUUGGUUUUGAUUUCUUUGAUUUUUUUUUUGGGUGUAGAAUAGUGUUUAUAGUGCAAAGUUUUGAUUUUUGGUUAUGGAAUUUGAUUGAUUUUAAUUUUUAAUAACCCUGUUGUUUAAAAUUGCAUGUGUUUUUGGGCUUUGAAAUAGUUGGUUUUUAUGUUUAUCAAUGUGGGGUGGGAUUUUGGUGUUUGUUGACUGGUCUCAUCAGUUUUAAGGUGAAAGUGAAAAUAGAUUCAUCAACGCUGGUUGGUGCUACAGGAUUCAAGUUUGUUUAGGAGUGUCCCCUGUGCGCGCGAUAACUCAAAUGGUUACUUUAGUUCAUUUUGCAAUGAUUGAAACUUGAAAGCUCCUUUUGGCUUUAAAGCUACCAGGUUGGAACUUUCCUAGACAAGCAAGUGCAGGAAGAUUUAUGUAUUCAUUUAUGCAAGAGUACUUACAGAUGCACUCAUGAACACACACAUUCGGAUUCUUUGGUAUAUUGAUGAUAUUUUCAGUUUUCACGGAACUGGGUAUUCUUUUCAUUUUGAAAGCUAGUAAACCUUAGUAAGUUUUCGAAUUAGGAGGUGAAAAUGGCUGGGAAAUCUAAUAAAGGGAGGAAUCGGAGAGGGUCCAAUAACACAACAAAUUCUUUGGAGCCAGUGGCGUCAUCAAAUGCUCCUGUGAAAGAUGACAUAACUGCUUCAGAAGCUGGUGUAGCUACUCUUAAUGAAGUACCAGCUGGGAGUGAAUCAACUAAUGGCUCCUCAGAGAUAAAGGAAUCUGAAACAGCAAAUUCUGCUAGUGAAGCAAAGCAAGGUUGUUUUUAUGAUAUUUUUUUUUUGCUUUCCUAAACCUCAUAGUGUUUCGCUAACGGCUUGGUUUGGUAGCAUUACUAUUUCUCUGCCAACCCAACCCAGUGAAACGGUUGCACCAAUCAUUUGUUGAAAUUGAGCUUAAUUAAAUGCUGCGUUACUGGUUUGUAUAAUCUUUGUCUUUUAUUUUGUCACCCAUCUCAUGUGGUGUUUUCCCUAUGAGUGCAGGUGAUCUUCAUCUUUACCCUGUCCCUGUCAAAACACAAAGUAGCGAGAAGCUUGAGCUACAAGUGAGCUAACUUGUUCCAUUUAGAUAGUAAUUGUUUUAUAGCACUCUGUGCAUUGGGUAGUACCGGUUUUUUCUGUCAUCAUUCUGCAAUGCAGAAGUUUUUUUUCCCUCCUUUGCUCAAACAAGUAACUAAUGACCUCAAGUUUUAAACAUGCUCUUGCUCUUGGCAUGUUAUUUGCUUAUUUAUGUCAACCAAUUGAUAAAUAAUACAAAAUCGCAGUUGAACCCUGGAGAUUCUGUCAUGGAUGUAAGACAAUUCCUUCUUGAUGCUCCUGAGACUUGUUUCUAUACAUGCUAUGACUUGUUGCUGCACACGAAGGAUGGUUCCACUCAUCAACUAGAAGAUUAUAAUGAAAUAUCUGAAGUAGCUGACAUUACUUCUGGUGGUUGCUCCUUGGAGAUGGUCACUGGUCUGUUAGCAUUGCUCUCUCUUUUGGUAGUAGAGAUCCAUUUAUGGACGCUUCUAACAUCGAAACUUUUUUGGCAGCACCAUAUGAUGAUAGAUCGAUCAGGGCACAUGUUCACCGCACAAGAGAAUUACUUUCACUUUCUACACUUCAUGCUUCAUUAUCAACAUCUCUUGCUUUAGAGUAUGAAACAGCACAAAACAAAGCUCCGGUUUCAGGUGGCAUGUGAUAUUCAUCCUAAAAUCAUUAUCAUUCUCCUUUAAUUACUUAUAAAGUAUUUCUUAACACUUCAUUCAGUGCCAAAGAUGUUCAUACAAUGCCUCUAAUAUAGAUACUGGAAAAACAGAGGUUCCUGAGCUUGAUGGGAUGGGAUUUAUGGAGGAUGUUGCUGGCUCGGUUGGUAAAUUGUUAUCAUUCCCAACAAAGGAAAUCAAGUGUGUGGACAGUAUUGUGUUUUCAUCCUUCAAUCCCCCUCCAAGCCAUAGAAGGUCCAGCCCUCUCACUCUCUCCUCUGACUAUUUGCACAAAAAAUCCAACAUUUCCCUUGAAGUGUGAUUUAGCAAAAUAAUUUGUUUUCUUGGUUGCCUCUCCAGGCUUGUUGGGGAUUUGAUUUAUCUGGAUGCAGUAACAUUGGAGGGUAACAAAUAUUGUGUUACUGGAACCACAAAGAUGUUCUAUGUCAAUUCAAGCACAGGGAAUGUCCUUGACCCAAGGCCCAGCAAAGCUACUUCUGAAGCAACAACCCUUGUUGGACUCCUGCAGAAAAUCAGUCCUACGUUCAAAAGAGGUAAAGAAAGGCAAUUGAGAAUUUAUAUUUUAUUGAGGCUUGAAGUUCAUUUCUCAGUUCUGACUUUUGAAUAAUAUGUUUCCUUGUGUGUUCCUAUUUUGAAGCUUUUCGUGAAAUUUUGGAGCGUAAGGGCUCUGCACACCCUUUUGAAAAUGUACAAUCUCUCCUGCCACCGAAUUCAUGGCUAGGAUUAUAUCCAGUUCCUGGUAAGUCGAACUUUUGUAUUCUAUUUUGUAUAUUUAUGCUAUUUAGUUCCUAAAGUUGCAGAACACUGCUUUAACUUGAAUGGACAUUCUUCCUUGCAAUUUUUAGUGUAAAACAACUAGCUAGGUAUUUUGGCUUCUUUCAGAUGGGGUGCGAGCUGUACUUCUAAUCUUGAUUAGUUUUGUUUUUUUGUUGCUCACUCUCAAACUUGUCUAAUUCCAUCCAAACUUCAAACUCUUCCUUCAUUUAUGUCAUUGCUUUGUUCAUUUAGAAACAUGGUCCGCCUGUCAUAGAUUUCGAGGAAGUUUCUGUUGGUAUUUUUCUCUAAGUUGUGAAUUAUAAUCUAUGCCUCACAUCAUUCCUGGUGACAAAUCUUGAAUUAAAGCUUUGAUAAGUUUUAAUGAGGUAUCCUUUAUGGAAGUUGGGGAGGGGGGUUUUAUGGUGUUGCAGCUACAUACUGGUACAAAGCAUUGUGACACAGGAAGUCAGAGGAAUAAUUAAAGACCAGAGAGAUGAAAAGAGGCAAUUGGAAGAGAAAAGACUGGAUGGAGGAGAAGGGAUCUCCUCUUCCGAGUCUGAUCAGUUUUUACCCACAUGGGGGCUAUCCAGUUUCACAUCAAUAAGGCUUUUCAAGCUUAACAGCAAUAACAACCAAAAGAAAUAAGAUAAAAUGAACCUGGCCAUGUAUCUUCCCUGAAUUCCUGUAUCUGUCCUUUUUUUUAUUCAUACCUUGAUUUUUCAGAUAGUGGUUUUUUCUUCAGGAUUAAAUUUGGCUGAAAUUACUUAUUUAGGUACCAUGUGAUCAUGUAUAUUUUCAGGCAUGCAAUGUAAGAACCGGCUGCAUCAACUAAUUAAUUGUUCUGAAAAGAUAAUUAGAAUUUUAUUUGGUGGUGAAAUUUUAUAAUAAAAUACAUUGGAUAUAUAUGCUACUAAAAUGAAGAUCAAAACAAAAGAAAAAUAGGGUUUUGAAGUACAAUUCAAGGCACUGUAGCCACAGAGCAUGUAAACAUGGCACCAAAUAUGCACUUUUGGAUGAAUUGGCUGCUAUCCAUAAAAAUGACAGAUCUGUGGAACUCAGUGGUUCAUUUGACAUCUCACCUGCAUAAGCUUCAUGAAUUUUUUUUGGGUCAGAUCACAGACCUGAUGCAGCCAGAGCGGAGGAUGCACUAACUCUUUCGUAUGGUAGUGAGCUGAUUGGCAUGCAAAGAGAUUGGAAUGAGGAGUUGCAAUCCUGUCGAGAGUUUCCCCAUUCAACUCCUCAGGAAAGGUAUACUUGUCAUAUGUGCUACUACCUUUAUAAAGUUAUGCAUGUUCUGUGCUGUUUUGUUUCUACAAUGUACAAUUUCUUUAUAUAGUUUCAUCCUCUAUCCCUUAUCAGGGUGGUUUUGUUGCAGGAUCUUGCGUGAUAGAGCUCUCUACAAAGUGACUUCUGACUUUGUUGAUGCAGCAAUUAAAGGAGCUAUUGGAGUCAUCGGCAGAUGUAUUCCUCCCAUAAAUCCAACAGAUCCAGAGUGCUUUCAUAUGUUAGUGGGACCCUUAUAACUUCUGAAUUUCUAUUCCAUCCUUGAAGUCAAUGCUAUUUGCUGGUUUGAGCAUUGCUUGAUGUAUGCUGCAUUGAAUGAUUACGGGCUAUGCAAGCUAAAAUGCUAUUUCUUUGAGAGGUUUGUGAUCAUUAGUAAACUUUUCCAUAAUAUCUCAUUCUUGUUCAUUCUUAUUCUAGGUAUGUUCACAACAAUAUAUUCUUCAGUUUUGCUGUGGAUUCGGACCUUGAACAGCUCUCCAAGAAAUGUAAUUCAGAUGCUAGUUCAAAGACUGAGAACACUAGUUCUUCAAUUAAAUCAUCUGAAAAGGCCACUGCCAAUGGGGUGAAAUGUGACGGAUCAACCGUAGAAGUGAUGGAAUUGCCUCCCGAAUCUUCUGAGCCACAGUUGGCUGAGAGUGAACAAGCUACAUAUGCUUCGGCAAAUAAUGAUCUGAAAGGCACCAAAUCCUACCAGGAAGCUGAUGUCCCUGGUUUAUAUAAUCUUGCCAUGGCCAUAAUUGAUUACAGGGGUCACAGAGUGGUAGCCCAGGUGUGCAUCAUAGAUGCAAUUCUUCUUUCUUUCUCGCAUUCGCCAUCACACUCAAGUUCACAUACACGAAAACACACUCACAUGCAUGCACCACUAUAGUCUAACAUGCAUGCAUGCAGUUAUCAUUGAAGUUAUAUAAAAAAGGAAUGCAAUUUUAGGCAAAUUGCUCUCUCUUGCUGCUUGACAAAAUUGGUGUCUGCUUUUUCUGUCAUCAUAGGUUAUAUGAUUACUUAUUUGCUAAAGAUUGCUCUUUCUCUCAUCUUAGGGAAAAAAAAAUAUCGCAAAUCCUAAUCCAUUUGAGUUUCCCAUUGCAUUGAACUUCCUGUCUUACUUGACAGCCAGUGGUCAUUUUUGUUGUUCCUGUCUUUUCUUUUUUAGACUUAUUUUUAAUGUUUUUGGCCCUAUUAUCAUCCCACUCUUCUUUUGAAUUUUGUUUUAGAGUGUCUUACCUGGCAUUCUUCAAGGGGAUAAAUCAGACUCUCUGCUGUAUGGUUCUGUUGAUAAUGGCAAGAAAAUAUGCUGGAAUGAAGGUUUUCAUUCCAAGGUGAGCAGAAAUUUAAGUUAUCAUUAUGGGUUGAUGGUAAUGCAUCAUUAAUUGAGAGCAUCUUGUAUUCAGGGUAGAUAAUUUUGUUACUAGUCCUAGGAAGUAUGUUCGUAUCUGGCAUCAGCUAUAUAUCCUGGGCACCAUGCUACAUCCAAACAUUAGUAUGUUCUCAGAUUUGUAUAUCACACUUUCUCGUUAAGUUCUGAUCUCUGUGCGACUCAGGUGGUUGAAGCUGCCAAACGCCUGCAUCUAAAGGAACAUACUGUCCUAGAUGGAUCCGGGGAUGCUUUCAAAUUAGCUGCACCAGUGGAAUGCAAGGGCAUUGUGGGUAGUGAUGACAGGUGAGGUGAUUGAUCUCCUGGGUUUUUAUCUUUAUAGUUUCUCUUCACUUCUAUCACUUGGUGGCCUUUUCUCUGUCUUCUUUAUUGCCUUUUUUGUAUUAUGGUAAUGAUUAAUAAUGACACCAUCAGUAUGGGAACUGCCUUACAUGGCUGCUGAUCCUUCUGUAGUUGUAUUCUUUUUUCACUAAAAUAUGAAAUGAAAUUAGCAUUUGCAUUACCGUGCUUCUAUCUUUUAAUAAACUUUCAGCAUCAAAGUGCUGUUGAGUGGAGUUCGGUGGUACCUAAUUGUUAACAUCCAUAGAAUAUUCAUUCUUUUAUAAGCGCUUGUUAUGAUUGGUAAUUUUAUUUCUUUUAUCAGGCAUUAUCUACUGGACUUGAUGAGAGUAACUCCUCGUGAUGCAAACUAUACCAGACCUGGCUCGCGGUUUUGCAUAUUGAGACCAGAAUUAAUCACUGCCUUCUGUCAGGUAUGUUCACGUGGACAAAAUUUGGUAAUCAUGGGCUUAUUUCUGCAUGUUCAUUCUUUUUUUUUUUUAACGGCAAAGGCCGGAGCUGUGGCAAGGUUGAAGAGUAGACCUAAAUCUGAGGGAGGGGUUCAAGUUGCUACUGAUUCUACAGAAGUAGCUGGUGCUGAUAAGCAAGUUAAAUCUGAGGAAGCUGCAGUGCCCGUCAACAAUCAAGUAAGAUUGUUUGGCAACCUUUUCUUCACUUCUGGCACCAUGCUAGAAUAAAUUGCACUUUAUGAGGUUCAUGUGAUUGAAAUGCAUGCAUGCAGGGGGUCGUCUGGAGGGUUCCUAUGCAAUUGAAAUGUUUGUUUGUUUUAUUUGGUCAUAAAUGCUGCAACAUGACACAGUUGUGACUGAGGGUGGAACAUUCUCUUAUUAUAUCUGAAGCUAUACAUAGUUACAGUGUUAUGUUCAAACAGUGAUGCAUGGCUUCAGAUUUCUUCGGAGGGCAAGUGUAAACUGAAUUUUUUUUAUAAAUGUCAAGUGCAUUUUAUUGUAAUAUGUAUAUGAACACUAUUACCCACAAGUGUGUGAGCACUUAUUUGAAUCAUGUGGCUUUUUGCAUUCGUCUUCAGGAGAUAACUAAAGAAGGGAAAGCUGACACUGUAGAAGAAAGUGCUCCUCCUCUUGCUGGAAGCUCUGAAUCCCAUGAAGAAAUACUUUUUAACCCUAAUGUUUUUACUGAGUUCAAGUUGUCUGGGAAUCCAGAGGUGAACAUCUAACUUUCAGUUUUCUUAUUGUAAAUUCCAUUAUCCAUUUGAAUUUGCUGGUUUUCUUAGUGACCAAAUACCUUUGUUACCAAUCGUGGCCCAAAAGCUGUUCCGGUAGCCACAUAGUAACACUAAACAACUAGGAGUUCAUAUUAUUUUUUCAAUUGCCAUUUAUCAGGAGAUAGCAGCGGAUGAAGAAAAUGUGAAGAAAGUUAGUUCAUAUCUUGCAAAUACUGUGCUUCCAAAGUUCAUCCAAGAUCUUUGCACACUUGAAGUCUCACCCAUGGAUGGACAGACUCUUACUGAAGCACUACAUGCUCAUGGAAUUAAUGUUCGCUACAUGGGAAAGGUAAGCUUAUACAUUUAUUUAAUGCUCUCUAACAUUUGUGCUAAGAUUCUGACAAAUUAUUUCGUCAAAGAACAAGUUUUGUAGCUCAACUUAAAUUUGAUUUAUUAAUAUAGUGAUAGCAGAAGUCACUAUUAUUUAAUCUGUUUUCUGUUAUUGGGUUAUUACAUUUGACACAAAUCAAUGAUUUCUUUAGGUUGCUGAAGGGACAAAACACUUACCUCAUCUAUGGGAUCUUUGUUCUAAUGAGAUCAUUGUCAGGUCUGCAAAGCACGUCCUCAAGGUGAUCAGCUUUAUCUGACCCCCUCAAAUGCUACAUAUUGCUGUUCUUUCUAUUUUUCAAAAAAAAAAAAGUGCUGACUAACUUUUGAAGGUCUUCAAAUUAAUGCAAGGCCUAUUGCCUGCAUGUUGACAGCAUAGUGUCUGUAGUGUUUUUGGCAACUGGACCACCCAGUUUUGUAAGAGAGGCAUUUUGUAGUUCUCUAAAGUCUUUUCUUAGUAUAAUUUUGCUCCAGUUAAUCACUAGUUAGUUGGUAUUUGGUCAGUCCAGGCCAGGCAUCUGUCUUCAAGUGAUUUUGUUGCAUGUGCAAACCUGUUUGGGACAGAAGCUGCUUUCAUUCUAUCCUUUCUAAUGCAUUAUAUGCGCAUCUUGUCAUUAAUUGGCAAGAGAUCUUUGAUGCAAACUGUAGAAAAAUGCUAAUGUUCUGCAGAAUACAGCUAUUAGAUCAGUGACUCCAUGUGGGGCCCGCUGAUCUAAUGGACAGAUUUUUUUGGGGAUGAGUCUCUGGUAGGCUGGACUAGUUAUUAAUUGAUCUUCAUUUGCUGUUCAAAUUUAAAUUCUCCUAUCUAGUUACGGGGAUUGGUGGCUGUUUUGAUUCAUCAAUUUCAUUUUACAUGGGCAAGAACAGCAAGCUGUUAUUGUGCAAUCACAAUAAGAAAUUCUAAGUUUUCUUAUUGGCAUUUGCGGAGGACACUAAAUAUGAAAAAGUGCACACGCAAGCACAUAUAUGUCCUUUAAACCCGUGCCUCUGGUACUAAGCGAUUGCCUUUCUCCUGCCUUCUUUUUGUUCUGUUGAUACAGGAUCUCCUCAGGGACACAGAUGAUAAUGAUUUAGGGCCAGCAAUCUCUCAUUUUUACAAUUGUUUCUUCGGAAGUUGUCAAGCUGUUGGUGUGAAAGGUUCAACUAAUAAUUCACCUUCAAGAGCAACAAAGAAAGUAUGUCUACAAAAGAUUACUAGUCAUAAUUGUUUUUCAGUUACUUCCAUCACACAUUGUAUUUGCUCCUAAACUGUCAUGAGCUAUACUUCUUAAGGCCCCCAUUUGCUAUGUUUUCCCUUCUGACCAUUCCAUUUCCCAGAUUUGAUAGGUCGAAUCUCACAGGAAGAGGACUUGUGUUUGAACUUGAAAUAUUUUUACGAUUAUAUCUAAUCUCUUUCAUCAAUGUUUAAUCGACUGGUUUCUUAUGUUGGAACACUUACAGGAACAAGCUAGCAAUCAUUCUUCAAGAAAAUCCUCUAGGGGCCAAACAAGGUGGAAAGGAGCAUCUGCAAGAAAGAACCAAUCCUCAUAUAUGAAUGUUAGCUCAGAAACUCUAUGGUCUGACCUUCAGGAACUUGCAAAGCUCAAAUACCAGGUAUCUUUUACCAUCAUGUGGGUUAUAUAAUUUGAGAUUAACUUGAAAUUGAAUUAGUCCAUUUUCUUACAUGGCUUUUUAUUUGACUUAUGAGAAACGUUGCUAUUAUCAUUUGUAAUGGGGCAUUAUUCUAUUACCUUAGCUCUAAAAUAUAAGAUGCGAGUAUAAUAUGCUGGAUCUAAUGUUCUCCUAUGUGUAGUUUGAGUUGCCAAAGGAUGCGAGGUUACAAGUGAAGAAAGUCUCAGUUAUACGCAACCUUUGCCAAAAGGUCCGUUUCAGUUCCUAUGUCAUCCAUCAUAUUGACAUACUUAUAUUUUUCGUUGGUGGGGUUUUCACAAUGAUUGAUUUUUGGUAAAUGACAUUUCCAUCCUGUGCUGCCUGGAACAUUUUUUUUUUUUCCAUAUAAGUAUAUGUUCAUUAGUGGCCAUAAAUGCCCAUGCUUCUUUUUUCUUCUACCACUGUGAUCAUUGUUUCCUAUUAUUGUUUUCUUGCCAAAGAAAAACAUUUUAUGUUUGCCUUUGGGGUGCUAAUUGUAAUUAUAUUCUGGUACUUCAGAAUAGACUAGUGAAUUUCAUGUUGGUUGUGGUUGACAUUCUAAAUGGCAAAUGAUUUGUGUUUUAUGUGGUUCCCUUAACAGGUGGGCAUCACCAUUGCAGCUCGCAAAUAUGAUCUCCAUACUGCAAUGCCUUUCCAAAUGUCAGAUAUCUUGAAUCUCCAACCUGUGGUGAAGCAUUCAGUUCCUCUAUGCUCAGAAGCCAAGGAUCUUGUGGAAACAGGAAAAGUUCAACUGGCUGAGGUAUGUCCUGGACAAGGUUGCCUUCAUUAGUGGUCUUGUAUUGUACUGUGUUGAUCCUUCAAGAAUUAAAUUCUUUGAUUGGGAUAGUGCUUUUUCCAGAACAGUUACAGGUUUUUAGCUUCAAAUUUAGUUGUGUUAAAAUCCUAUUUGAGCAUGGGUUAAAAUGGAUUUCAUCACACCAUAAUUUUGGUAAAGACAGUAUCUGAAAAAAAAAACAGAAUAUUAUUAUUUGGUAACCUAUUUUCAAGUAGUAUAGCCUUGCAUGAUGGCAAGUUGCAAGCCUAGCAUAUGAUCUUGGACUUUGUAGAAUGUAAAAACAUUUCAGAGAAUAUGCUACGUGUUUCUUGAAAGUUGUUUGCGGUUAUUUAAUACUGUUGUUUUCUUUUGCUUCAGGGGAUGCUUAGUGAAGCCUACACAUUAUUUUCUGAGGCAUUUUCAAUUCUUCAACAGGUAUGUUGUUCUUUUUUCUUCAUCCAGUUGGGAAGUCUCUGAGAUAAAUAUCUUGACCAUUUUAUUUUGUUUUCCAUUUUUCAACAGGUAUUUUGUUCUUUUUUCUUCAUCUAGUUAGGAAGUCUCUGAGAUAAAUAUCUUGACCAUUUUAUUUUGUGUUUUAGGUGACUGGUCCAAUGCAUCGUGAGGUUGCUAACUGUUGUCGGUAGGUAUUGUAAUUCAAUAACCAAACAAUUCUUAAUUUCUGAUUCUGUUUCCUUGACUUUUUGUCAAUGACAUGUGAAAUCAUGCUUAUUUUAACUAUCUGAGUAUACUUUGAAAAUGCAAGGUCAUCUACAAUAAUCAGACCCAACUUCAACUAGCUUUUUCUAGUCAGCAGUGAUUCUCUGUUUAUUCAUUUGCACUUGAACUUGAAUAUUCAGGUACCUGGCCAUGGUUCUGUACCAUGCUGGUGAUAUGGCUGGAGCAAUCAUCCAACAGCACAAGGAGUUGAUCAUAAAUGAACGUUGCCUGGGAUUAGACCACCCUGAUACUGCCCACAGGUAUCAUUUCCUUGCAAUUUUGUCCUUCGUAUUAAGUUAAUUUGCAGUGGUGUGUUGUUAUUUUGCUGUGCACUGACAAUUGUCUGACAAAUUUGCAUUCUUAAAUUCUUUGAAAAUUGAGAUAUCUUCAUUUCAGUUUCUGCAUUCAAAAGUUGGCAACCUGUUUAAAAUUCGUUUGGUUGAAUUGGCUCACUGUGUUUUUGCAAUUAUGCAGUUAUGGAAACAUGGCUCUCUUUUACCAUGGACUGAACCAAACAGAACUUGCACUGCGACACAUGUCUCGUGCGCUGCUCUUAUUGAGCUUGUCAUCUGGUCCAGAUCACCCUGAUGUGGCUGCAACCUUCAUAAAUGUUGCAAUGAUGUAUCAGGACAUUGGAAAGAUGAACACGGCUCUUCGCUAUCUGCAAGAGGCCUUGAAAAAGAACGAGAGGCUUUUAGGAGAGGAGCAUAUUCAAACUGCUGUAUGCUACCAUGCUCUUGCAAUCGCAUUUAACUGUAUGGGCGCAUUCAAGCUAUCACACCAGGCAUGUUUUUGCUUGACAUUUCUUUAGUAUUGAUUUUCUCUGAUAUAGAGAAAGCACAGAUGACUGAAUUAGCUUUUGCUUGUGCACAGCAUGAGAAGAAAACCUACGACAUACUUGUCAAACAACUUGGUGAGGAGGACUCAAGGACACGAGAUUCCCAAAACUGGAUGAGCACAUUUAAGGCACGAGAACUGCAGGUUGAUGCAGUGUUACAAAAAUGUUAUUUUAUUUUUCUGUUUCUCAGUUUCUGAACUUUUAAUAUUUUUUUAAUUACAGAUGAAUGCACAGAAGCAGAAAGGUCAGACAUUGAAUGCAACUUCUGCUCAAAAGGCGAUAGAUAUAUUGAAGGCAAGUGUUAUUUAAUUUUUCUUUGAUUUAAUCUGAUGAGAUGGUUUAUUGGUAUUUAGAUGAUGGAUAUGGCCAUUUUAUCAUUUUUGUGCUUGUGGAAAUGGUUCGCUGUAAAACAUAAAGCAUGCCCAAGCAGCUGUGCUAAAAACAUUGUGCAUUCAUCAGAAAUUCUUUGUUUUGCCUGAUACAAUUUUCUUCCAGUUUUGUGUAGCCCUUACAUCUCUAAUUAGUAAUUGCACGAAGUUAAGUGACAAGAUGUAUAGUCUCUUUGUAAGUGUCUGCUGGUGUCUAUUGGAGACCAGAAUUUCUGAUGUUGAUUUGAGUGUCAGGCUAAUCCUGACCUGCUGCAUGCAUUCCAAGCUGCUGCUGCUGCUGGAGGAUCUGGAUCUGGGAGCUCUAGCAGUUCCAUUAACAAAUCCCUUAAUGCAGCAAUAGUUGGUGAAGCCCUUCCACGAGGGAGGGGAGUCGAUGAACGAGCUGCUCGUGCAGCAGCAGAAGCUAGGAAGAAAGCAGCUGCUAGGGGGCUCUUGAUUCGCCCGCAUGGUGUUCCUGUACAAGCUUUGCCACCAUUCACUCAGCUCCUCAACAUCGUUAACUCAGGGGCGACUCCAGAUUCCAUCAACAACGAGGAAGCUGGUGGAGUGAACAAUGAAGCUAAUGGACAGUCUUCUAAUGACCCAGUAGAUAAACAAAAAGAUCAAACAUCAGGGAAAGAUCAGGCUCCUAUUGGGUUGGGCAAAGGCUUAAAAUCAUUAGAUGCCAAGAAAGAGAAAGCAAAGGCCAAAGUUGCAGCUUGAAGUUUCGAGGCGGAGAUUGGAUUGAUCAGUGGCAAGACUUGAACAAUUGGAAGUGUUCGUAUUUCUUGCCAUUUGUGGGGGGGCAUCAUUUCAUAAUCAAUUACAGUGGUGACCAGCCGUCAACUACUCGUAGAAACUGAAGAGUACCGAGGUGUGCCAAAGAAACCAUCUGUGUUCGUUUUGUCCAAACAUCACCCUCGUAGAUAUAAUUGAUUGAGCAUGCAUGGGGAUCAUGAGGUGCGAGAUAGAUGAUAAAUGACAUGUUGUUAUGUAGGUACACUAUAUAAAUUGAUGAUUAGUUUUCCAGCUAGUUUUGUAACUUCAACUCAAAAAUUAGUUUUGUAAUUUGUUUGCAAGGGCUGCAUGCUCUUGGCACCCUUGGUCUGUAAGGAAUAAAGGAUUACCACUUUUUUAUAUUUUUUUAUUAAUGAAAAUAAUAUAUUUUUUGUUUUAUAGUAGCCUUGUGAUGGAAAAUAACACUGCUAGUUGCCGUUGCAGCAUGGCAUAUUGAAAGAAUGGCGCCUGUUUGAUGUUGUAUUCGUUGUAAUCGUCUUUUCCACGACGAGGGGUGGGUGUAACUAGUUAUUAGCCUCGUGUUUAUUUGAUUCAGGUUUUUUUAACAUGUUUUUAAAUAUAAAGAACUUUUCAACCAUAAAUUGAAAUAUUUAUAUACUUAUUAAAUUAAAUAAAUUGAUAUUUGAUAAAAUAAUAAUAAUAAUAAAGAUUAAGAUAUUUUUGUUUAUAAGAAUAAUUUUUUGAAUAGUGAAAUAGAAAAAAAUAUUUUUUUUAACAGAAAGCAAUGAAAAAAAAAAUCUGAGUUAACCCGGGUUAAUCUGCUAACCCGCGACUAUGGACAUAAAAUUGAGAUAGCUCGAAAAACAAACAAAAAAAAAAAGAGCAAUCUAAAACAAAUAAAUAUUGAAUGAUAAAAUUAAAAAAAAAAUCAAUUUUUAAAAAUGACAAAAAAAAAAUCAAAAUCAACUCUUAUUAACCUUCGAAUCCGUGACUGUGGUUAUUAGGCUAGGAUUAACCGCAUAGAAGGCAUAUAAAAAAAUAAAGCAAGAUACUCAAUUAAAAAAUAUACUGAGCAGUGAAACUAAAAAAAAUAGUAAUGGAAAAAAAAUUUUAGUUAAUUCAUGUUAAAAUACUAACCCUGUGAUCAUAGAAAUAAGAUUGAGAUAGCUCUAUAUAAAGGAAAUGAAGAAAAAAUCACGAAAAUCAAUUAAAAAAAAUCAAAUAUUAAAGGAUAAAAUUAAAAAUAAAUCAAAUUUAUAAAAGGACCUAAAAAAGAUCAAAUUCAACUUAUGUUAACCUUCAAAAUCUAUGAUCCUAGUCAUGAGACCGAUUAACCCUAUAGAAGGAAAAAACAAUUCUCAAUAAAAAAAAAUAUUGAGAGAUGAAAUUAGACAAAAAAAAGCACAAUAAAAAAAGAUAAAAAUAAUAAAACAAUAAAAGAGGGGUCUAAAUUCAAUAUAAAAAUAAAUUAAAAUUAAAUGUUAAGGGAUAAAAUUAAAAAUAAAAUUCAAUUAAUAAAAAGGUUAAAAGAAAUAAAAAAAAACGAGGACAAAAUCUAAUUAAUCAAAUGAUGAGAGAUAAAAUUGAAGAAAAAUAUAAUGCUAAGGUUUGAAAUUGAAAACAAAAUUUAAUUAGUGAAAGGCUUAAGAAAAUUAAAAGAAUGAGGACUAAAUUUGAUAUAAAAAUCAAAUUAAACCAAAUGAUAAUGGACAAAAUUAAAGAAAAAAUUAAUUUAAAGAAGUUAAAAAUAAAAAAAUAACAAUAAAAAGAAUAAAGACCAAAUUAAAUAUAAAAAAUAAAUAAAAAUACAUCUACACUUUGCUAAGAAGAAAGAGAAAGAAGGAGGAGAAGAAAGAAACUCAUCAAAACCAAGCCAACAUUUCAUUGCGUACAUGCAUCGUACCAUAAAAAAAAAAAUGCUAACGUGCUUCCAAACAUCGUUGUGAAAGGUAGCUUUUCACCUUUAUAAAAAAUGCAUGUGUCACUUGAAGGGUGUAGGUGAUGCCUUAUAUCUUGUGCAUGCAUGGUAUAACAAAAAUAACAAUAGUAAAAAUAAAAAUGUCUAUAAAGCCCCAAUCUGCCCAUUUAUUUAUUUGUUUUCUCCCAAAACUAUUCUAGUCAUUGCAUUGUCACAAAAUAAUAUAAAAAGACCCACCAUGAUUUAAGAGUUUUGUUAAUAUACAAAUAGAUGAUCAUUUUAGCAUUUUACCUGAGUCAUAACCAGUCUCUCGUUUCCCUUUUUCUACCAAUCUCCUCUCCCUUUUUAGUAACAAUUCCCUGUAGUUCCUGUGGCUAAUUUUCCACAGGCCGUAGGAGCCCCUCCUCUCCCAAUUUUCGAGAUGGAAUUCAAACGUUGUUAAAAACAUAUUUUUAACACGACAUAAAAAAUAUAAAAUAAAAUUGGAUUGUAAAAUCAUAAAAGUAUAGAAUUUUUUUUAUAUAUAUAAUUCAAGCACCUUAAAAUACAUGCUUCAAAUAAAAACUAAUACAUAAUUCAAAUAUUUUAAAAUACUAUUUUAAAAUAUCAUGGUUCAAAUAAAAAUUCAUUAAUAAUUUAGGUAAAGGAGCAACCUGCAUCGGCUAGAAAAUUUAUUUGUGUAAUUCUCUUCCUCUUCAAAAUGUUUGUUUUGGUCAUCAUGAAGAUGCUUCAAUAUGCCUAUAUGCAUCCCAAAUCAGCACAUUGAUCCAGCAGAUUUAACAAGCAAAAAACCUCAAUAGUGCUACCAAUAAUCACUGCAAGAACAAAUGCCAUUCUUGAAGUGGUGAAAGCGGCCACAAUCUCUGACAACAAUCUUGCAUCCUACAAUCUUUGACAUAAGCUUAAUAACAAAGUGACAAUCCCCACAUACACAAAGAUUCUUCAUGACUGUUAUUGUGUUACCCUCCACGGUGUUAACUAGCCCAAAUGCAAUAGCAAAUCUCUUACUGUGAAAAGACAACAUCUCUUCUUUCUGCUCAUCCUCGACAUCAUGUAGAGCAAAUUUUUAAUCAAGAACAUAACCAAAUUCCUUUAACUUUUUUCCUAACCAGUCCAGCUUUUCAUAUAUUCUCACUUAGAGAAUGAGAUCUGUCUACAGAAAGAAACUCUGUUUCUUUCCCCUCAAAACUACCCAACUAGAUCCUAGUUGUUUUGCAAGUCCUUCUAGAGACAUCGGCCACAAAUUAGGCUCUUAAUUAUUAUUUUUUGGUUGCAACUAUCCACCCUAAUUUUUUUUAUAAGACGAUAUGUUGUCUGAUAUGGUGGUUAGAAAAUUGGGACUUAAGUUUUUUUUACCCAAAAACAUGUUUUUAAUCUAUUUUGACCCCAAACACCUAAGAAACUAUAAUAAAUCUAUUCAAGGCCUAAAAAAAUCAAAAAACCAUCCAAAAAAACCCAAAAUAAAAAAUUUAACCGAGUUCAAAUUUUUUUUAUUCAUGAAAUUUUAAGGUAAAAAACACCUAAUAUGAAUUCUUCUCAUCAAAUAGAAGCAUUUAGCAUAAAUAUUGAUUAUUUUAGUGGCCUAAAUCAAUGUCAAAAAUAUUGUUUUUUCUCUAUUACCAAAAUCUAGUGAUUUUUAUCUUCUCUCUUAAUCGGGGAAUAAAAGAUUAAAAAAAAGAAUUGUAUCAAAAUUGAAUUUGAAAAAAACAAAGGCAUCAAAAUCAUAUUAUUUAUGUUAUUUUCAAAGUUAGAGGAUCAAAGUAUUUUUUUUAAACAGUGAUGGUAAGUGAUUUGGAGUUCCAAUGAAAGGCGGGAAAAUUGACCUCUUACCAUGCAACUGAGGAUCCAUUGAAUAUCCUCAUGAAGUCGUGUAAGAAAUAAAAAACAUAACAUCGGCAGAGGGCAAGCAAGAUGCAUCUGAUGACAUAAUAUUUACCGUAUCCUAUUCAUUAUUUAUCGAUUAAAAAUAAUGCGUAAGAAAUUUAAAUAUUUAUAAACUUCGUUUAUUAUGUUUUGAGUUUCUGUUAUCUAAUUAUUAUUUAUUAUUCAAUAAAAAAUUAAAUAAUUUAUAUAUAACUCAUUAUAUUAAAAAAUCUAAAUAUUUUACAAAUAUAUCUAUAUAAAAUAAAUAUAUAUUUUAAAUUAUAUUUGAAUAUAAAUACAUACUCAGUAAUUAUAACCAUCCAUUCGGAUGAGUCAAAUUGAUUCUAGCUGGUUCAGGGUGCAAACAACAUUUCCUCAUAUUUUGUUUUUUUUUUUUAACUAAAAAUUAUUUAUAUAUAUAUAAUUUAAUUAUUUUGAUACGCUAAUCUUAAAAAUAAUAUUUUAAAAAUAGAAAAAAUAUUAUUUUAAUAUAUUUUUAAAUAAAAAAUUCUUUAAACAACAACCAUUAUCACAAUAAUAACCUAAAUUACCAUCCUUAGAAAUUGGAAAUCCAAGGGAAACGCAGGCACGUGCCCUGUUUUACCUACCACCAAACCCGCAAAAUGUGCAGCGCUCUUAUUAUUGUUAAAUUGCAAGAGAUUGAAAUGAACAUGUGGGAAAUAAUUCAAUCAUUGUGGUGCAAACUACAAAAUAUAAUAUAUGUACAAAGUCAAGCUAUUCAAAUGGAAGGCUACCAUUUUGUAUCAAAUGGGGAUGGUGAUUUGUUGGGGGGGAACACACCAUCCAAAAUAAAUAGAAAGUCAGAUACAUAUCAACUUUUCUCCUACAAAACUUCUGAAACAGGAUGGUAUCCAUUGACCUUUUUCCUGUCCUCUAUCAUUCUCUUGUGUUGCAUAAUCUUCUAAGCAAUAAAAUGGGAUGACGAGCAGAAGAAAAUAUUACCCUGGUCUCACCCAGAUGCUCCAACAGCACGUUUUUCGUAUUCACCAUGUUCUUCUUUGGCAAACUCCUCAAUCAAUUCACGCUGUCUUGGGGUCAAAUUUCUGUAGCAAAAUAUGUUUUCUGUAAAGGUAUUGUCUACCACUUGAAAAACUAAGGAGCUAAAAGGAUGGCUAUAGUUAUCAUAUAUUAUGCAUUGCCCAUACACGCCAUCCAAAAAUUAUGGGCAAAACAGAACAUAAAAUCUCUAUAUAAUUCUUCAUUCAUCCAUUUCUAGUAGUGGGCAGAGCAGCAAAUACAUCCAAAAGUUGAGCAGAGUUAAGUAAAUUGACAAAGAAAAGAAAAGACCAACUCACAAUGGAAUGCUGACAUUGAAGUGCACAAACUCAUCACCAAAUGAAUACGAUCCCCGUGCUUUUAUCCCUGUCAGGAAAUACAAAGAAAUUCUUACUUCAUCAGACAAAAGCAGAGUAGCAGACCGCACACAUGAAGGAAUAAGGAACAUCCCUGAGAACCAUAACAAACUACUGAGGCUUUUCCAAAUUUAUCAUCAUUAAUUCAGUAUUUAACAAAAAAUUUCAGCAGAUUCUUGGAUAAGAUCUAGGAUAAGGAAACAAAAGCCACUUAAAAAAUUGAAAACCAUAAGCUUGGAGGUAUGCUAACAAGAUAACCUCCAGCAGGAAUAUAGCACCGAAAGCUAUCUAAGACAGGUGUGAGCAGAGCAAGAACUGGCAUUCAUCUCACCUUUAUUCUUCAGAACCACCUUUUGACCAGGUUGGGUGCCAGGGCGUACCUGAAAAUAUAUAACAGGUUAAGGUAAGAUGAGUUAGUUUAUUUUUUAGAAUAAUCAAAUCAUGCAAAAUGAUUUCCAACAAACCUUAAGUACAACAUCUCCUGUGAGAGUUGGAACCUUGAUGGUUCCCCCCAACAUUGCCUGCAAAUAGCAAUUGAAUGAAUUUUUACAUUAGGCAUAAAUACUAAAUAGUUAUGAUUUAUAAUAGGUAUAUAUCAAAACAAGCUGCAAAUUCUAUAUGUUUCUGCAAGAAGACCAUCUGAACCGAGUGCCACACUUUAUUUAAAAAAUAAACAUACAAGUAUAACCCAUAUCUCAAGCUAACAAAGGAAUUUCUAAAUGAGAACCUUGGAAUGUACUGAACCACAAAGCAAGCAGGAAAGGAUUCCUGUUCAUUAGAAUCUUGGUAUUUUUCUAGGACAAUGAAACACAAAAGUUUUUACCUGAGUAAUGCCCAAAACAGCAUCAACAUGAAUGUUAGAGCCUUCUCUGCGGAAAACAGGGUCUUCCCGGACCUGUGGGGGGAGGAAAAUAACGACUUCAAUAACAUGGAAAAUGAAAUAGCUGCAAUAAGAUCAGAGGAAGUUGACAAGCAUCACAGGAGACUAGACAGUCUAAGCACACUAGAAGUACACAAGCAAAGAGAGCAAAACAAAUGAAAGAAAGAGACAGAAAACCACCAAAAAACUAAAAUUUCAGAGAGCCAGGAGAUCAUUCACAGUGGAAAAGGACACUAAAAAAUAUAUAUUUUCCUUAAAACGCUCACUUUUUAUUCAUCUUUCAAAUGUUGUCAUAACCCUGCAUAAAAUUCAGCAGACAAGGUGAAUCUACCAUCCAUGUCACACUGUUCUCUUUCCUGAUUACCCGGUCCAGCUUGCCAAGCAAUCAAUGACCAUUGAAUAACCAUUUAAAACAAAAUAAAGAAACAAAACUCAUCCAAGAGUUUGCCAGCUAGAAGGCAAUGUGAAAACUAAAGCUACAUAGUCUGCUCGUUAUGCCAUGAAAAUGCAGUAAGAGGAACAACCAUCCAUACAAAUAAAAAAGGCACAAAAGAAACAAAAUCAUAUAAAACAACAUCAUGCUAAAUAAUGCUGUCAGGAAAUGUUAUUGUCCUUCAUUUCCACACUACAUCCUAAAACAUCACACUAGCAAGCAAAGAAAUAGGGAACACACAAAAAUAGCAGCACAAAAAUAUUAAACAAGUUGAAUUACCUUGAUUGUCACAUAGAGAUCACCAGGUUGAUUUUUUUCAGGGUCUGCUCCGCCACUUUUAUGGAUCUUCAUAGUCUCAUUGUCAUCCACUCCUGCAGAUGUCAAGAAACUCAAAUUAAAUCACCAAAUCCAGCAAAAAGUUCCACAUGGGAAAAUGGGCAACCGAAUAUAUAGACCAUAUUCAUGAGUGUUUCCAGAAAUCAGAAGUUGAGCUCACUGGAUAAUGUCCCUAUCUAUAUAUUAUCCCUAAUAAGUGUCUGGGUGUAAAAAUAAUGACUGGAAAGAAAUUCUGUUUUAAGACAGAAAGCGGUCAACUUUAUCCCCCAUUUAUCCACUCAAGGACUUUUUACUCUAUUUUCACCAGUAGCAUGUUCAACACCAGGAAACUACGUUUGGUACAUGAGAAACCAUGUCCACAUCCCUCUUUCUUUACAUAUUUUAAAUCAAUUAAAGAGAACUUCUUUAGUCCAAAUUCCAAAUUCAAUUCUAAGGAAUAAGAAUCAUUUUGAAAGCCAGAGAAAACAAAUAAGCAGAUCUAAAAUGGUUCCGUUCAAUUCACAUGGAAAGUCUGUGCAAGUCUGCUUUUUUUUUUUAAAGCAAGAUUGAUUUGUUCUAAAAACAAUUCCCUCCAAAACAACUCAACCAGAGCUACACCUGUCUUCCAGAAUACCAAUAAGAAAGACAAUGUGCAAGAUCAAAGAAAGUUUGUUACAAGCAAUUGCAUUAUCACACCAGUCUGCAGGAAAGCAAGUGUACUGUAGUAAAUCUUGAAGGGUAUUCAAGCUCCUAAUUUAACCUUACCUAAUCUAGUUUUUUUUUUUUAAAGGAAAAUCUGUCAAUCUGUCAAUUUUAUAUUUUAUUUCAUAAAUGGUGUUAGGAUGAUAGAGGAGUUUAUUUGUCAGAUUAAACAAAAGCCCUGACUCAUUGCUAUCAUUGUUUAGGGUUCUUCUGUUCCACAAAUAGUAGAUACCUAAAUAUAAUUGUUGAAACUAAUCUAGCCUUCAUUUUUUAUUUCAUUAACUUCAUGGUUCAUUCAAGCACCCAAGAACUCGAGCUUGAAUGGAAACUUGAAGUUCACAUCUCUGGUUUAUUUAGCUUCUAAUUGCUUUUGGUACCAUAACUAACAAAUCUAGAAAAGCGCUCAAGGAAACAACCACACUAUCCUUUGUUCCAUAUGAGAUGCCUAAUGUGAGAAACAUAAAAAAUAACUAUGAUGUACCGUUACAAGACCACAUUGUGUGGAGCAUGUAAGAGCGCUACCCUUGGGCAGAAAAUAAGACCACAAUAUUGUACAAGGACGGAAAUUUAACAAGAUGAUUCAAGAUCAACAAACAAACCUGUUGGAAUGUUCAACGAAAUUGUCUUUGAUCCUCUCACUACUGUGUGUCCAUGGCAAGACCUGCAAAAGCUCUGACACCACCAGUAGUAAAGCAUAUGCAUUAAUAUUAAAAAAGAAAACCAAGGGACUUAGACCCAUCAUCUCAUCAAAUUUUGGAAAAAUUGUUAAAAAAUGUGUUGCCAAAGUUAAUCAAAGCUGCCAAAUUGCAAGAAUCCAGAAGCCAACAUUAAUGCAAUCAUGCACAACAGUUUAAAAUAAAAAUUCUUCACUAGUGCCCAUGUAUAAAGUAAUACCUUAUCAGGUUGUUUCAUGAACAAAGAAAAGGUUUUAAUGCUUCCCAGAAUUUUGCUCAUAAAAAAUCAACAUUUCCUAAAAUUAUUUAAAGAAGACUUGCAGACCCCAGUAAAAACAGAUAUUGAUUCCCGUACCGAAAAAGUUUGCCCAGUUCCACCACACUGAUCACAUGUCUGCUGAAAACUGAAAAACCCUUUUUGCAUAGAUAUCUGCAAAUGUAGGAAAUGUUACAUGUUAGUUGGGGGAAACACCCAGUAUUUCCUGAAUAAGUAGCAUCAUCACACAUGGUCUUCAGCAAGUAAGACUAACCAUCCCUCUGCCUUUACAGCGUUUACACAUUUGAGGUUUCACUCCAGGAGGAACACCUUCUCCACCUUGGAAAAUGCAAAAAAAAAAAAAAAAACCAUGGCCACGCAUUCUUAAGAAAUUACAAGAGAGCUGCAGUUAUGAAAACAUAAAUCUCACAAAAAAAGGAAAAACUGAAGUCAUGAUGUUUGUAAAUGCUAUCAAGUGAAGAUAAACAAACCACAAGUUUCACAAGGCACAUCGGUCUGAAAUGUGAUAGUUUUGGUGCAUCCCUGAACAGCUUCCAUGAAGGAAAGUUCAACAGAAACCUAACCAUGAUGGUUUUAAAAAGAAACUGAAAGUCAACAUUAAUUCUAAGCCCAAAAAGAGAGCACCAAUCAACAUGUGGAAAUUCUAAGAACCUUGACAUCUUGGCCAGCAACAUUCUGUCUGAAUACAUUGCUGAAUAUCUGAUCUCCAUCAAAGCAAGUGUGGUGUCAUGCACAAAAAAAACAUGUAAAGUUCAUCAACUGUGAAAAUCCAUUGUUUAGAGAGGGGAAAAAAUACAGAGAAGACCCAAACCACCCCCACUAAAUAAAAAGGAAGAAAAAAGGCAGUGGCAAAUAUAUUUCUCCUCAUAUUGCAUUAAAACAUCCAUUGUGUGGCAAUUUUAUAAGAAAGCAUCAUACAUAAGGUCAUAUACUGCAAUGCAGUGAAACGAUUUUAAUUGCACUGCUGGCUUAAUAGUUCUGGAGGCAUAACAAGGACCCAACAAACUCCAAGAGUAUGUAACUACACAGAAUGUAAAUUCUCACCCUAAGAAAAGGCUGCUCUUAUUUAAUUUAAGAUUUGGAUAUGAGCAGAAUAAAACCACAAGAUAAUUGACAAUCAAAGAGACAAUUAAAUAUGACAGAAUCAAAACAAAGGAAAAGAAGCUGGAGAUUAAUUACAUCUUCCAUUCUGAAGUCCCCAAAUGGACUCUCAAAUCCUGGUCCACCAGGCUGAUAGUUAUCUUGGUUUUCAAAUGCGUCAUGGCCUAGCUAUAAGUUUGCAAAUAUAACAAACAUCAAUAUAGAUAUUAACAGAAGAGGGUCAUUACAUUACAUAUGAUUAAAGAAGAAAGAAAGAAGUUGCAAGGAAGAGAAUUUCAGCAUAUUCUAUGGAUAGUACCUUCAAAGAGGAAAAAAAGGGGGAGAUAUAACAAGAGAAUAUGGCAGAUGCAUGCAUGCAAAGGUUGAUAUUCUUUUUUUCUUAAACUUUGCAAAGUAUGUGAACUUCAUCCAGGCCAAAAUGAAUGAUAAAAUUUAAAGACACGCAUGUUGUAUAGAAUAAAAGACCACCAGGGGAGGGUAUAGUUUCAGGCUAACAAGGCGAAAUGAAUGACCUUUUCACAUAUUUGUGAUCGAGUGCAUGGAAGCUUCAAUUCUAAAACAGAUGCAAUUAUACCUAAAAUUCCCUAAUCUUCCAGAUAAUGCCCAAUUGUUAAGCUAGAACAGAUGCAAUUAUACCUGCAAGAAUGAGAUCCUUGAUUGUUUUUUGGUAAGAAGUUAGCAACUCCUAUUUGAAAAUACAACGUUUUUGUUGGCUGGGUCAGGCACACAAGGCUUGACAAGUUCUUGAGAUUACAAACAGAAAUUGCUUUGCAGGUUGACAGUUGACUACUCAAGUAAAAUUAUUACGGUGAGGUGCACUAAGAAACAAAAUCCAAGAUCAUUCUAACAACAAUGACUUAUCCAUUAUAAAACAUAACCUUUCCAUUUUUCACUGUGGUAGACCUUCUGGAUGGUGCUAAUUAGUUGUCACCCUGCCAAGAUUUAUUUCACCAGUUGACCUUAUCCUAUAUACCAGCCCUUUCACCUACUAGAACCCCCCCCCCAACACAAAAAAAAGAAGCCAAGUGCACACUUUAGAUCGUUGUUCUUCUUCUUCUUUUUCCUUUCAUUCUCAUCUAAAUACUCCAACCCAGAAAACAUAGCUCAGUAAAAAGUAACCAACUGAUGACAGUAUGUAUCACUACAUUCAUCAUCAGACUGAAGAUAAUGGGAUUGUUAAGUGCAUCCCUAGACUAGGCAAGUAAACAACCACAUAAGACAUCUUACUCUAUUGGCUAGUUAUAAUUAUGAAUAGGGGAGUUUCCAUAUUUAUGCAUGUAAAAAUUCCCAAUUAAGAGCAACCAUGUGAUGAGCUAUAAACCUCACUUAUAAUGUACGUAAAUCCUCUCCUCUUAUAAGCACUCAUACUGCCCAUGUUUUCGAUCAUUCAUUAAUACUGUAUGUUACUUGGUUAUGUGUUAUACAGACAUUCAUUUUCCACUUAUUUAAUAAUAUAAACACAGCUAAAAUUAAAUAUGAAACCUGAUCAUAUUGUCCCCGCUUUUGGUCGUCUUUCAAAACCUGUAACCAGAACAAACAAAAGUUUCUCCAUUCAGUAUUCUAUGUAACUCAGUUAGAGGAAGGGAUAAAAAUUCUGGUCUGCAAAAUUUACCUCAUAGGCCUUUGAAACUUCUUGAAACUUCUUUUCGGCUUCAGGAUCAUCUUUGUUUGUAUCAGGAUGUAGCUUCUUUGCCAGCUGCAGAAGGGUGCUAAAGUGAAAUCAGAAGACAAAUUAUACAAAGCUUAAAAAAAAGAAAAAGUUGCAAAGUAAAAGCUGCAAUCCUAUCACAGUAUAAAGAAAAAAUAUUAACGUGCAGACCUAACACCCAAAUUAAAAGAAAUAAAGUAUGAGAGUUGCAUUAUUUGGACUGAAAUAUGCACGAUUAGGAAAAAUAAUGAAAAGAAAAUCUACCCCAUAAGCAGUCCUAAAACCCAAAUGAAAAGAAAUAAAGCUUGAGAGUUGCAUUAUUUGGACUGAAAUAUGCAAGAUUAGGAUAAAUAAUGAAAAGAAAACCUACCCCAUAAUAAGCUUUCUUUAUAUCAGAUGCACUAGCAUUCUUGCUAACACCAAGUACAUCAUAAUAAUCUCUCGACAUAUGAACUGACCGGAAAAAAAGAAGAUAUAAAACAUACAUUGUUAGCCACACAAAAUGCCGAGGAAAUAUUUUAGAAUAAAGCGAUAGUAAGCAGCAACAGCAUAAAUGUUACAGCAAUUGCACUUCAACAAAAUAAAACUUGUACUAAAUAUAGUACAGGGUAAAUUUAAAAGGCAAAAUAUUAAAAGCAGGACAUGUGAAAUACCAGAGCCAUGAAUCAACCUCGUAGCACCAAAUUUCGCAUUUAAAGCUCCCAAUUGCAACCAAUUUGUUUGGUUAACUGCGAUUUUUUUAAAAAAAAUCAGUACCAAAAAUAACAAAUGCUCCCCCCCCCCAGAAUAGCAAAGAAAAUGAAAAAAAUAGAAAAAUAUAUAGAUUCACCAAAAUGUAAAAUUAAUUCCCUUUCCAAGUCCAAUACACAUAAACAACCAAAAAGUUUAAAAAAUAAGCUGUCUAAGAAACCAAACAAAGAAUCUGAAAAUAACCCAUAAAUCAAAACACUGGAAGAGCAAGAGAAAGAAACAAAACAAGUGCAAGUUACCGUUUUUAGGAGAGUAAUUGCCAAUAAACCUAACAGGAUUACAAACCCCAGUGGUCGUACUUAAUCUUCUAUAACUCUCAUUCAAUACACUCUUGUGUACCUGCAAUUAAUACAAAAAACACAUUACUUAUAAAUGUAAAAUAAAGCAAUUCAAUAAAAAACUGCAAAUAAAUAAGCAAAAUCAUACGGAAUUAGCAGAUUCUUGGAGGAGGUUAAGUGAGAGAGAAGGGCGAGCGAGCCAACCAACAAGCCUGGCGCUAUGAGACCGAACCAUUUGGUGGGUUCUUUAGUAGGGUUUGAAAAGUCUUGAUCUUUCUAGCAAUUUGGUUCUUUUUCGGUUUAGGGAUUUUAGGGGUGGGGGCUUAAACCCUACAAAAGCCCUAAUUUUUUAGAUUGGAAGGUUCUAGGAGUUAAGAGAGGGAAGCAGGGAGGAAGUUUUUUUGUUGGGAUUUUAAAAACAGAAUCUAGAAAGUAGAAAGUAGAAAGAGAGAACCGUACGGGCCAAUGGCUACGAGGGCAGGGCCAAUUUUGUUGGAGGCAGACCCUUUCUUGGGCUCUGUUUUGAAAUGCAUUCCUUGGUUCAGAAUUGCCCUUCCAAUUUUGAGUUCAUUUCGUUGCGUUGCUUCUGUGUUUGAAACAAUUACAUUAAUUUAAUUAUUUAGUUAUAUUUUUGAUGCGGGGCAAUAAAUAAAAAAAAUUAAAACAAGAAAAGAAAAAAGCUUUUAAAAAAGAAGCUGAGAAGAGAAAGCAAAGAAAGAGAAAAAAAGAGAUUGAAGAUAUGCAAAGUCUGCAAAUUUUCAUUAAUCAUCAAAAGUCCCUUAACAUUUAGAAAAGUAGGGUAUUAAUACUAAAACCCUAACUACAAUAAGCGAUUGGGCUUAUAGCCCACUAAAUAAAAUACUUAACAAUAAUUAAAUCAAUCCCAACAAAUAAAGAUAAAUUAAUAAAACUCAUAUAAAAGUUCAUAUAAAUUAAACCCAAAACAUAAGUUAAAGCCCGAUCUCUCAAUGAUUUGGGCUAUCCUCUAUUGUCUAUGAUCAUACGCGUGCGUAAAUAAUAUUUUCAGUUCGGUGUCCCCAUCAAUUCUCCCGGGGUUGGAAGAACUCGACCCCGUCAAGUAUAGGUCAAGGCAGCUCCGAUAAUGCUCUCAAAGAUAAGGAUCAAGCUGUUGUGAUGUCUCUCUGAUAAUCCAAGUAUAGUCUGAAUCUGAUCGUCAAGCCCAUAUACUAGGAUUUGCUGAAGUUCACCAUCCCUGGUAAAAACAACUUGUGCAUUCAAAGUAGCAUUAAUAUGUUCCUUUUGUGCCAAAGAUAUGGAUAAUGAGAUAGGGGUAUCAAAAGGAGUAUCAGGGUUAGGCUGUAUUUUAUAAAUACUGAGGUCUUUCAUGUUCAAAGUAGAGCUAAUAUCAAAGUUUAAUGGCAAUUUAAUGACAUAGUUAUUUGAUUUAAUCCUUUGCAACACUUUGAAUGGUCUAGCACUACUUACUUGUAAUUUAUAAUCGGUUUUCAAAGGACACCGUUCAGGUCUAAUCUGUAUCAUGAAAUAAUCUCCAACAUUAAAUGCAUCAUGAUAUUUAAGUAAAUCAGCUCGAAAUUUGUAUUGUUCAUUACUUGCUUGAAUUUGUUUCAUGAUCUCAAUAUGCAAAUUAUGAACCCUACAUGGUAACGACUCAGCUGACUUAGACAUCAUAUCGCGAGGAGAUAUGGGAAGGUGUUCUAUUGGCUCCUCAGGUUUGUAACUAUGAACACUAAAUGAUUGAGGAUGUGGAAUGAGACAAACAUUGUCUGAAACCUAUAUUGUAGAGAUGGUAUGGACACAAUCAAGUAACCUAGGAUUAUCUUCAUCUUCCUCAUCACGUGCAUGUGGUAAGGGAUCAAGAAGCUUAAUAUGUUGCUUUAAACUUAUGAUGUGUUGGACACCAAGCAUGUGGGAUGAGGAUUCAGGUCGUUUAGGAGGACUAAUAUCAUGAGACUCUUCUAAGACCAUACUCAUCUCUAUAGGCGAUUCCACUGAAGAGUUCCCUAAAAUUUCCUUUACCAUUAAAGUAGACAUAUCAGACUCUUUCUUAACCUUAGUCUCAAGCUCAUGUGGACUCAUCAUGUUAAGUCCCUCUUCUUGCACAUCCUCGUCGUCAAGGUCACUAAAAUCCUCAAGAUUAGGCUCAUACACUUUAACACUACAAUAUUCCUCUUUACGUAAAUCCUUAUAUUUUUGGAUGACUAAAGGUUUAGAGGUACAAUCUAAAGAGAUAUAACCAAAACCUAGACAAUUAGUACACUUAACCAUAGAACUCACCUUAGACACUUCAUUAACAACUCAUUUGCCUUUAUCUUUCUUGUAAAGUUGUGAGUUACUAGGAUUAGGUCUAUGGGGUGGAGCAACUAACAGACAAUUAUUACUUCUGAAUUGGGACCUAAUAGGGAUACUAUAAAAGUCCUGACGAUUCUUCCACUGAUUCUUUGUGACCAACUUGUAGUCUUUAGUUAAGGUAUAAGCUUGGUCAAGGGUAGAUACACCUUGAAAUACAACUUCUCUUCUAAGAUCAUCAUUUAAGCCUUUACAAAAUCUACGCAAAGUCAUGGUUUCAUUCUCUCUUAUGGCACAUCUAAUCAUGUAAUCGUUAAAUUGCGUUAUAUACUCAUUGAUAGACUUAUUCCCUUGUCUUAGAUUGUUCCAUUGGUCUAAGAGUUUAUUCCUAUAAGACUGGGGUAGGUACUUUUCCUAAAGUUUUUGUCUCAUUUUGAUCCAAUCAGUUAUAGGAGGUUUACCUCUCAUCUCUAAACAAUCCUCAACAUCUCUCCAAUAAAUUUUGGCUUCAUCAAUGAGUUUCAUCUCAGCAAAUCUAACUUUUCUAUUAUCAGACAAGUUAUGCCACUCAAAGAAUCUAUCCAUAUCACGAAUCCACAUUUCAAAUAUCCAAAGGUCAUAACGACCGUCAAAAGUGGGGGCUUCUAUUUUGUUAGGACUUAAGACUCGCUCAUCAAAGUCAUCGUGUUUAGAGUAACAUAAAUGAUAGUCAUACUGGUGGCGCUCAUAGUGAACUUGUCUAUAAUGAUUAUUCUUGUGAUAUUCAUUAAUCUUUGAGUGCCUUAUUUGAAAAUUCUCUUGGGGCUCAAUUCUUUUAAACAUGUUGAUCACCUAAGUUUGCAAUUCCCUUUAAAUGGUCAUAAGAGUAUCACUAAAGGUUGAGUCUACAGUAAGUGUAAACUUAAGUUUGGACACUAGAUGAUCAUGACACAAAUGCCUGCAACACUAAUUUAUAAAUGGAAUUGAGAUCACAAAUGGUUCUUGCAUGUAAAAUCACAAUACAAAAAUAAAGCUAAUAUAUUUUUUUUAUCUUUUUUUUUAAAUGUGGAGAUUAAUCAAGAACAAAUUACACUAAUAAAAUUGUAAGCAUGUAAUACUAGAUUCUUAAGUGUAAAUGAUUAAUCAAACACGAUGUCACAACCAAGAACUCAUAAUUAUCAAAUAGAACAAAAUAUUAGCUAUCACUGAUGAAAGAGGUUGAUGAACAUAAUUAACAAUUAAAAAUGCUAGGUGAGAUUUUUUUAUUAUUAUUAUUUAUUUUGGCACAAAAGUAAUAUUAAUGAUAACUUCAAAUACUAAGUGCAAUACUAAAAAGGUAAAAUCAACAAACCGAAAAGUAAAGUAAUUUACCGACCAAGAUUCAAAUCGUCGAAUUCGAUCGUGGAUGGACCUCGGAUGACAUGGCAAUAGGGGUGAUGUGGAGAGGUCUGCUUAUAUGGUGGACAGUGACGUGGCUGCUCAUGCUGAUGUGGCGGAUGACGUGGAUGUUGCUUCAGAUUGAUGACGUAGAUGCUGCUUCAUAUUGAUGACGUGUCAGGUGAUGUGGUGAUGAUGUGGCAGGGUGAAUUAUUUUGUGUGAAGAGCUUAUGUUUCCUUCUUCCUUGCUUUCUGUAAUUCGUUGCCACUGCUGACGACGACGAUGACGCAAGAGAAGUGGAUCUGUGAUUCUUCUUGGGAUCGGCAGUGCGAGGAAAGGGGUUGCGGUGUCGCUGCUGGACAGGGGCUAGUUGAUGCGUGGAUCCGAUGCUGCUACUGAAGGCGAUGGCAUUAUAGACGGUGGCAGAUGGAGAUCUGUUGCGUUGCCAUUGCUGCGGUGAACCACCAGUCGGUGAUGGCUGUAGUGGGUGGGUGGCUGCGUCUGGUGGUCUGUGCUGCUGAAGCCGAAAGUCUGUUGUGGAGGCGCCGCUGCAAAUGAUUUGGUUGUAAUCUGUCGGUGGCGUGGGGAGCGGCCUUCUGUAGGAGAAUCUGUUGUCGUGGGUCUUGGUGUGACCGACGUUGAUGCAGAGUUUCCAAUCGGCGUUGAUGCAAGUUGUAAUCGGCAUUUUCCAAGAAUUUUGAUUUCGGCGGUUGCUGCGGAGAAGAUGAACAGUGACAAUGAACAAUGCACAAUUAUUAUUUUUUCGUAAUCCGAACAGUAGGUGUUUUUUUUUUUAAAACAGUGAACAAUUUUUUUUUAGAUCAAACCGGAUCUAGGGUUUAGCAUAAACAUUAUGGAACGUUUAAUUGUAAGAACAAUUAAAACCCUGGCUCUGAUACCAAAUUUGAUGCGGGACAAUAAAUAAAAAGAAUUAAAGCAAGAAAAGAAAAAAGCUUUUAGAGAAGAAGCUGCGAAGAGAAAGCAAAGAAAGAGAAGAAAGGAGAUUGGAGAUAUGCAAAGUCUGCAAAUUUUCAUUAAUCAUCAAAAGUCCCUUAACAUUUAGAAAAGUAGGGUAUUAAUACUAAAACCCUAACUACAAUAAGCGAUUGGGCUUAUAGCCCACUAAAUAAAAUACUUAACAAUAAUUAAAUCAAGCCCAACAAAUAAAGACAAAUUAAUAAAACUCAUCUAAAAGUUCAUAUAAAUUAAACCCAAAACAUAAGUUAAAGCCCGAUCUCUCAAUGAUUUGGGCUAUCCUCCAUCAUCUAUGAUCAUACGCGUGCGUAAAUAAUAUUUCCGGUUCGGUGUCCCCAUCAAUUUUCACAGCAGAUUUAUAGUAGUAAAGCCUAUUAUUAAUUGUGGCACAACCACAAGUUUUCAAGAAGCAUCAGUGUUGUUCAUGGUUUUCUUUCCCGAACAGUGAAGCAUGAUCUAUGGGUUUUUUUCCGACCGAAUCGGUCCGAUUCAAAGCUAACAAUGCAUUGAACUGGUCCUAUCUAAUAAAAUAAAAAAAUGUUUUUUAUUUUUAAUUGUUUUUUAUUCAAAAAACUAGCGUUAAAAAAAUAUUUUAUAUAAAGUAUUAUUUAUUUCAUGAUAUAAUAGUAAUAGUUAAAUCUACAAUAUUUAAAUUAAAAAUCAUCAAUAUUAAUAUAUAUUUUUUAAAAUUAUUUUAUAACUUCAAUUUUAAAAGCAGUCUUAACCAAACACAUUAAACUACUUUUUGUUCAACCUCAAUUCCAACCACAGUUUUAACCAAACAUAUAUUUUUCCGAACCAACCACAACUAAAAGUACUUUUUAUAAAAUAACUUUUUUCAAACUAUAACCACAACAUCUACCGCAAUACCAAACACACUUUUUCUCGUCUUCUUUUUUCUAAAUUAUAAUUUCUUUUUGACAGUUUCUUUUCCUUUUAUUAUAUUUGGAAAAUUAGUUUCAAAGCCAUUAUUAUUAACUUAUUAGUACUUCUCCUUUUUUCUGAAAAAAAAUAAAAUUGGCUAAGCUCAAGUGAUUCGGUGCGAUUAGUAUUGUAACACAAAAUACUUUUUAAAAGUAUUUUUUUUAAUUAUGAAUCAAAAUAAUUUUUAUUUUAUUUUUAACAUCAACAUAUUAAAAUUAUUAAAAAAAAUACCACAAAACAUUGAUUUAAUGUUUUUUUUUAAAAUAGAUAUACUUUUAACAAGCAUAUAAAAUUAGAAGUUAUUGUAAUUUCAAAUGGAAUAGUAAUAACUUUUUAUCUAAAGGUCAAUAAUAAAUGAUAUAUUAUUAAGAACUAAAUUAUUUAAACUAAAAAAAAUUAAUUAAAAUUAAGUCUUGAUAAACAAGCAAAAUUAAAUUGGCUAGAGAGAGGAGAGCAGUGAUUACAAUAACAGAGAAUUCUAGAGAGUAGCAUAAUUAAUAUUGGGUAAAUUAAUCUCUUAGCCCCUCAAGUUUUGAAAAUUAGUUCAAUAGGCCCUUGUACUCAAAAUUUGGACAUGUCAACCCUUAUAUUUACAAUUUAUGGUCACAAGUUGUUUUUUUUUUAUUGGGUUUCACGAGAUACACACACAAUAGAAACAAUAAAUUUAAAUUUUCAAGAGUCUAAGGAUCCCGUUAAAUAAAUCUAGAGAUUUUUAGGGUUUAUGUGAAGAUUUCCUAAAAAUCAGAUGUUUUUUUUUGCUUUGAAUAUUUGCUUCGAGGUUGGGUUAUCGCAAACCACAAGUCAUCCAAGUGUCCAACCUUAAACGAUAAUCCACACGAACCAUUAGUGAGAAAAUUUAUAAACUUUUUUAUGUGAGAGAGAUUGUUAUACCUUAGAGUGUUAGUUCUUUUCUUUUGUGUUUUAAAUCUUUAUAUAUUGUAUUUUUCUCACCUUUUUUUCUUAUAAGAAAUAAAAGGCAUAACAUUUUAUUUACAAGAAAACCUAAAAAACCCUAUAAAUAACAAAAUAUCAAUUUGCCCUUAAAUAAUAUCAUAUAUACUAUUUUAGAUGUUCUUAGAAAUUUAUUCAAUUAAGUCCCUACUUAAUUUUUCUAGGUCUAAAAUUGCAAUCCCCUAUAUUAAUUAUAUUCUAGUCUUCAAUUUCUAAAAUUUAUUUACAAUUAAGUCACACUUGAUUUAUUAUGUCAUUUUAACUUCUGACAAAUGAUUCUUAUAUGCAUGACCUAAUGGGUUCUCUAAUAAGUGAUCCAAAUAUAAAUCAUAAUCCUAAAUAAAAUAAGAUCAAAUAAAUUAAUAAUUUAAUUUAUAAUCAAUUCAACAAUUUAUUGAUUUAUAUUUAAAGAUCAAGUACAAUGUCUAGUAACUUGUCAUGAUCUCCUAAAUAAUAGAAAAGUUAGAAGUUGUUUAACUUAAAUAUCUUUAUAUAGUUUAUGCUAUACCCAAUAUAUGCCCGUUUGUUACAUUUGAUUAGGACAAUGUGUGGUUAGGAUCAAAGCAUAACACUUUUUAUAUAACAUAACUUAGUGAUCAUUUACACAAUUAUCACGGGAGCUUUUCUAUAGACAUAAGUGAUCUCUCCAUUUAUGAAAUUUUUUUACGAGUCAAUUCAGUGUACAUAUAAUAUAACAAGUACCUGUAAAUUAGUUUCAAGUAUAUCUUAUACCCUAGUUUAUAGGAGGAGCUGCUUCCUUUAAUAAAAGAAUGAACAUAAUAUGCAUCGAUUUUAACAACUCUAAUUAAUAUUCAAUUUUAAUAGAAAAUUGACCAAAAAUAUUUAGAAAUAAUAUUUUAAUAUAAUAGAAAUCUCAUAAUUAUAACAGCUUUAUUAUUUUUUUUACAAAACAUUUUUGUUUUAUGAAUCUUAUCUUUAUUUUAGAUUCAUUAAUUAAACAAAAGAUUUAUUAAUAAUAAAUAUAUUUUACAUGAAUAAAAUUAGUAUUACAUAUAACCUACUGAUUUAUUACAAUAUAUAUAUAUAUACCCACUUUCAUCCCAUUAGAUGUAUAUGCACAUGCACAUCAAUACGUGAUAAACAUGCAAUGAACAUGAGUCCUAUAGAUGGACACCAUGGCCACAAAUUGAAAUUCUGAGGGUUGCCAUGCUCUAAAUCAAAGUAGAGGGGUUGGUUUGACAAAUUUUUAAAACUUGAAUGACCACAAAAUGAAUUUACCCCAACAUGUUACCCCUAGAUUGCUGCACUCUAUCAAGAUCAUACCAAUGUGUCUAUGAGUUAGGAAUAAUUUAGAAGCAAUAUAGCAAGUAAACAGUUCAUUGAAGAACUGAAAUUACUUCCUUCUCUCCCCUUCCUCAACGAAGAGAUGUGAACUUCCAAAAGCACUAUGAUUACACUGAACAAAGGUAUAAUUUAGAAGAAGAGCUUGUUUUUAUGGUCCAGGAAAAUGGAGCACAAAAUCACCUCAUUUCAGGCUGAGGACCCCCUCCAUAUGCAUGAUGAAAACAAGCAAUUCUUAAAAGAGAUAUGUCCACGUUUUUUCUUUAUCUGCUCUUAACACAAAGCGCAAUUAUCCAGUAAUUCAGGGUAGCAAUCAUGGUGAUCCUUGAUCGAAGAGAACUUACGUGCAAUUGUUUGUUUCAGGUCAAGAUUGCAGCACUAGGCCCUGCAAUCUCUAUUAUAUCUUAAUGUCGAAAGCCAGAAUUUUGAAGAGUGUUGGUAAUUAAAACAAUUAAUGUCCUGUAACUUGACAAUCCAUCAGAGAAAGCAUGGAUUCUCCCUAACACAACCAUUCUUUUUGAGGUUCCCUUUUCUUUUCUCCAGGCAAAACAGAUAGGAUGUUGUCAUGUACUUGGAACUAAGCAAAACAGUAGGAAACUCGAAUCAAAUCCAGCAAAAGAGUAUUGCAGACUUCCUACUCCUAGACACAUACCCUCUUCUUUUUUCUCUUUUUACCCUUCAUUUUUUAUUUUCUGUUUCUUAGAGAGGGUGGUAUGUUUUGCAGGAGAUACCAUGCCUUUCUUUUUUACCACGGCAGAGAUUGUGUGUCGGAUAACCUCCAUGAAAAAAAGUGGUUCCACUCUAUUAAGGCUUUAAAAUGGAAUUUACCUCUAUUAAGAAUAAUAUAAAUUAUAUUUUGGAUCAUUAUCUAACAGCUUAAGCUAUUGGGUUGAGAUGGUUUUUUAACAUGGUAUCAGAGCCUUGAUUACCAAGCGGUCACGAGUUCGAAACUCACCAUUCCUAUUUAUUUGAUAAAAAAAAUUAAACACAAGAUAUGUGAGCAUGUGCAAGUUUCAAGUCCAAAGCUUUCACUUGAGAGGAUGUGUUAAACAAUAAUAUAAAUUAUAUCUUGAAACCUCAACUAAUAACUUAAGCUAUUGGAUUGAGAUGAUUUUUUGAUAAGUUGGAUAACAGAUAGAGUUGCAGCAAUUUCAACAUAAGACUGACUAAACAAAGGGAUAACAACAAUAAUAAAUAAGUUUUAAAGCAAGAAAAAGAAUACAGCAUAGGAAAGGCAUCUUUCACCAAGGUCACGCUCACCUGAGCUUUAGGUUUUACUUUUGCCUUCUUUCAGCUCUAACAAUGACCUUUAACUCGUUUUAUUUUUCUCUUUAGGUUUCUUCACAUAGGUGUUGCUGACCACUGAAGAAAGGCAUGUUCAUAAUUACACAGGGUUAAGCAAACUACUCUUUAAUCAAUGACCAACAGAUGAUAUGUCUUAAGCUGGAAGCGUGAGAAGUGUUUCUAAGGAAAUCGGAACUGGUUAAUAAGGAUUAUUCCAGGAUUUAAACAUAUUAGUUUUUUGUAGGCGAAUGAAAAACAUAUCAGUGUGGUAACAGAAGAAGUUAAUUUCUUCACCUAUGAACAGAUCUUAGGAUCCACAUUUGCCAAAUGUUAUGAUGAGCUUCAUGAUAAAACCAUACGUCAUAUAUCUACAUUGAGAGAGAGGUGCAGGACUGAUCCCUUUCUUGUCAAAGAAGUCGAACUUUUAAGUGUAGAAAGAAAAAGAAAACAAGAGAAGAUUAGGCUGUUAAAAUGCAACAGAUGAUCCUAUUAAGAUCCAAUGUUAUUCUUUGUUAGCUUACUAAAAGCUUCAAUAAAUUUUUUGAAGGGAAGGAAAUAUGCGCAAGAAGGAUCUGGAAACCAGUAAUAAAAUAACCAAUUUCCAUUUAACUUUAUCUUCAAGUUCUUCAUAGCAAUCUGGGCGACAGUAUAUAAUAUUUGUGGCGAAAUAAGCAUAUUAUUACAUCCACGGACUAAAUAAAGCUUAUUCUUUCCCUCCAUUUUGCUCUUCUUGGCCAACCUAGUCUAUCUACAAAACUCAAAGGCAGCUUCUCCAUCAAAGCAUUCCUUUCUUCACAAUUCAAAGCUACUACUGUGAGUGAGAAAUAACCAAUCAAUUAUUCCUUCCAUUUAUAUUGUAAGUUGGUGACUAGAACUUCUUUGCUUCCACUUUGAGUUUCAGAUUUCUUGUAUAGAGUCACUUCCCUGUAGCUUCCGACACCAGCAAAGUAACCCAGAAAAAGAGCAUGAAGCUAGUGGUGGAAGUAGUAGAUGCUCAUGACCUUAUGCCCAAAGACGGAAAAGGUUCAGCUAGCCCAUUUGUAGAAGUUGAUUUCCAAAACAAACUAAGCAAAACCAAAACCAUCCCGAAGAACCUCAACCCUGUUUGGAACCAAAAACUUCUCUUUGAUCUAGAUGAAACCAAAAACCGCCAUCACCAAUCCAUUGAGGUUUCCGUUUACAACGAGAGGAGACCAAUUCCUGGCCGAAACUUCCUUGGUAGAACUAGAAUUCCAUGUUCAAAUGUUGUCAAGAAAGGUGACGAAGUUUAUCAAACUUUCCAAUUAGAAAAGAAGUGGUUUUUCUCAACUGUCAAAGGUGAAAUUGGCCUUAAAAUCUAUACCUCACCAGAAUCGAAAGCUCCUCCCCUUCCCUCUCCAUCACAACCUCCACCAUCUAAUACACCACCACCACCAGAAACCUCUCCUUCUAGUUCUUCUCUCCCCCCUAUUACUCAUUUUGCAGAAAAUACCGGCCGUGAUUGCAGAACACUUGCUGCUCUUCCUAGAGCAGAGUUUCUUCAUACUUCUGAAGCUAUUACAGAACAGCCUGGGAAAAAGAUUUCUGCAACUUCUGAAACUAGUGGCGGUUUUCCUGCAAAAGAGCCAAAGAUCAGUAAUAAAGAACCUGCCAAAAUAAGAGCUGAUACCACUCAACACGUACACAAACACCAAGUCCUGCAGAAAACCAGCCAAUCGGUGGAGAAACUACCAAACGGUGCCCCUUACACAGUGCAUGCUGCUAAUCCAUCAGCUCAUUCAAGUGAUCUAGAUGACUUCAACUUGAAGGACACCGAUCCCCAGUUAGGGGAACGGUGGCCAAGUGGUGGAGCAUACGGGGGAAGAGGAUGGAUGAAUGGCGAGAGACAUGCAAGCACAUAUGACCUUGUUGAGCAGGUAUCCUACCUAUAUGUUCGAAUUCUUAAAGCCAAAGAUCUUCCUUCGAGCUCCAUCACUGCAAGCUGCGAUCCUUAUGCGGAGGUAAAGCUUGGGAACUACAAGGGUAGGACAAGGCAUUUCGAGAAGAAAAUGAACCCAGAAUGGAACCAGGUCUUCGCUUUCUCAAAAGACCGAAUACAGUCAUCGGUGCUGGAAGUUUUUGUCAAAGACAAAGAAAUGGUGGGGAGAGACGAUUAUCUUGGAAGGGUAGUUUUCGAUUUGAAUGAAGUUCCAACUAGAGUUCCACCAGACAGUCCACUGGCUCCUCAAUGGUAUAGACUGGAGGACCGACGAGGAGAAGGGAAGGUGAGAGGAGAGAUUAUGCUUGCGGUUUGGAUGGGAACGCAGGCAGAUGAAGCCUUUCCAGAUGCAUGGCACUCUGAUGCUGCCUCAGUAUAUGGAGAGGGUGUACUCAACAUCCGCUCAAAAGUCUAUGUAUCACCAAAAUUGUGGUACCUAAGAGUGAAUGUGAUUGAAGCUCAAGACGUGGUACCAAGUGACAGAAGCCGCCUCCCAGAAGUAUUUGUAAAAGUUCAAGUUGGGAAUCAAGUUCUCAGGACAAAGAUUCACCCCACUAGAACAGCUAACCCACUCUGGAAUGAAGAUUUGGUGUUUGUAGUGGCUGAGCCUUUUGAGGAGCAGCUCUUUCUUACUGUUGAAUAUCGAUUGACUCCCCUGAAAGAUGAUGUCUUGGGGAAAAUAAGCGUGCCCCUCAACAUUUUUGAGAAGCGACUAGAUCACCGGCCUGUUCAUUCUCGCUGGUUCAAUUUAGAAAAAUAUGGUUUUGGUGUUUUGGAAGCUGACAGGAGGAAAGAGCUUAAAUUCUCAAGCCGGAUUCAUCUAAGAGUUUGUCUUGAAGGAGGAUACCAUGUAAUGGAUGAAUCGACAAUGUACAUCAGCGAUCAAAGACCAACAGCAAGGCAGCUCUGCAAGCAGCCAGUUGGGAUAUUAGAAGUGGGAAUCUUGGGUGCACAAGGUCUUCUUCCAAUGAAGAUGAAAGAUGGCCGAGGGAGUACAGAUGCCUAUUGUGUGGCUAAAUACGGCCAGAAAUGGGUUCGCACAAGAACAAUCGUUGACACUUUCAAUCCAAAAUGGAAUGAGCAAUACACUUGGGAAGUUUACGAUCCCUGCACAGUGAUAACAUUGGGAGUUUUCGACAACUGCCAUUUAGGAGGAGGAGAGAAACCAACUGCUGCAAAUGUAGUACGAGAUUCAAGAAUUGGAAAGGUAAGAAUUAGACUGUCAACGCUAGAAGCUUAUCGGACUUGCACACAUUCUUAUCCACUUCUUGUUCUGCACCCACACGGUGUGAAGAAAAUGGGAGAGCUCCAACUGGCAGUUAGACUCACCACCCUCUCUCUAGCUAACAUGAUAUACGUCUACGGGCAACCUUUGCUGCCUAAAAUGCACUUCUUGCAUCCAUUCACAGUUAAUCAGGUAGACAAUCUGAGAUACCAAGCCAUGAAUAUCGUAGCUGUGAGGCUCGGCCGAGCUGAACCACCUCUGAGAAAAGAGGUGGUGGAGUACAUGUUAGAUGUGGAUUCUCACACGUGGAGUAUGAGAAGAAGCAAAGCCAACUUCUUCAGAAUCAUGUCACUUGUUUCUGGUUUGUUUUCUAUGAGCCAUUGGUUUGGGGACGUUUGCCAAUGGAGGAACCCAAUAACAUCAGUGUUGGUUCAUAUCCUCUUUCUUAUAUUGAUUUGGUAUCCAGAAUUGAUCCUCCCAACUCUCUUUCUCUACAUGUUCCUCAUUGGAAUAUGGAACUACAGGUUCCGACCAAGGCAUCCACCUCACAUGGACACUAAACUUUCAUGGGCAGAAGCAGUGCACCCGGAUGAACUUGAUGAAGAAUUUGACACAUUCCCAGCUUCCAAGUCCCAUGAUAUAGUUCGAAUGAGGUAUGACAGGCUUAGAGGAGUUGCAGGAAGGAUCCAAACUGUAGUGGGCGACAUAGCAACACAGGGGGAGAGAUUUCAGUCUCUACUCAGUUGGAGAGAUCCAAGAGCAACCAGUCUUUUCAUUGUGUUCUGUCUUUGUGCAGCUGUGGUGCUCUAUGCGACUCCUUUCAGGGUGGUGGCUCUAGUUGCUGGUUUGUAUUAUUUGCGGCAUCCUAGGUUUAGAAGCAAGCUACCGUCUGUGCCCAGCAAUUUCUUCAAGAGAUUGCCGGCUCGAACGGACAGCUUGCUGUAAUACUGCAAGCAGACAAAUUCCUUAUUUUCCGUUACCCUAAUCGCUUCUUGUUCGAGUUAUAAUAAGUGUUUUGUUUACAGUAAUACAAUUCAAAUUUUUGAGAUUUUAAUGAAAUUUUAUGUUUGUAAUUAUUUUAAGUAUUAAAAAUUAAAUUUUAAACGGAAUUUAAUCUUAAAAAUCUUAAAAUUUCUAAAUAUAAUAAAUUUAAUAUUAAAACUGAUAUUUUUAAAAUAUCCAUGAAAGAUUUUCGAAGAAAUAAAAUAUUAUUUCUUCGAGUUAUAGGAUACCAAGUACCAACUGCAUCUUUAUAUACCCUCAAACACAAAUCAUGCUCUCCUGUUCCUACUUCCACUCGCCAUGCUAUCAUUGCGAGAAAGCUAGUGGAAUUGAUUGGCUUCCCUUUUCAAUCUGCGUUUGUGAUUUUGAGCGAGAAGCUAUAAAAAACCAAGAAAGAGGUCACCUAGCAAGGUACAAGGGACUGCGAAGAGACAGAGAGAACUAGCCAACAGCGUAAAAGCAAAAGCAAAAGCUAAAAUAACAGCAAAAGCUACACAACUAACAAUUCUAAUGAACAAAUAACAUGAAAAAUCUUGCACCAAGAAAUGAAAAAUGGGAAACAAAAAUCAAUUGCUGCCUCAUACGAGGUUCAUGUAGCUGUCUAUUGCCAAAAACACUAGAAGAGUGCAUCUGCUAAGAUAACGUUCAAACAAAAUACAGUUAAAAAGAAGCUCAAGAGAAACGAUCCUAAGUUUUUCUUUUAAAACACAAGCUCAUGAGGCUUCAUUCCAUCCUUGAGGGAAAACCUUGCGCCCAAGUAUGCUUUCAAUUCCGGAACACUCUCAAUUGAUUUAAUGACUUGCGCAUCCACUGACUUCUGGUCAUCCUUCUUUUCUUGUGGGAGUGCAUUCUCACCCUGUAACAUGGGAUGAGAUGAUAAUAAAUUUCUGAAUGGACAACAUGAGAAAAUACAAUAGAACAUGACCAAAUCUAACUAAUAACCACUUGCAAAACCAACCUCUUUCUCUGCCUCAAAGAAGUUGCCCUCUCCUUUCUUCUUCUUCUUCUCAGCCUUCUUGCCAAAAUAUUUAUCAUCGAACUUCUCCACGCUAACCCCAGAGAUGUCAACCUUGGUGGAAGUUGCAAUCACAUAAGAUUGGUUGACUCUCCUAAGAGGAACACCGUUGAUCUUAAAUGGUCCUGCAGCAAUUAGGAAACAAAUACCAUAAUUUUAAGCAGGAAAACCACAGAAAACGUCGUCCACGUUAUAACAGCAAUACUAAGUCCAAGACCUUACAAUCAAAAUUUUACAAAUCCAAAACCAUCCAAGCUAAGUCAUAUCACUAAAUUUCCAUUUCAAAACAGCAUAGAACAUCAACCAAGUAAAUAACCAAGCACUGAUGCGAGCAUAAUCACAGAUCCAAAUUUCAGGUCACUAGCUUUAAGAUGAUUAAUAAAUAAUUUCUUUCGCCCAACAAAAACAGUAAUGCACAAGCCCACUACAGCACAGGCACGACAGUCAGUAUAAAGUAAGCAGGUAGAUGUCAUUGUCAUACAGGAAAAAACAUAAAAAUGAUAAAAGGGAAUAAAAAAUCAAGCUAACCAGUCACAAGUAGCAACCCAGAAGUCAGUUGCUUGAGAAACACAACUCUCUUGCCCUUGAACCUUCCAGCAAGAAUGAUCAACACAGUCCCAGGAGUAACACUAUCCCUACAACACCAUAUAAAAAGCAAAGAAAUAACAGAUUACAACAUUACUUAAAUCACAAUGCAAAGAUUUAGCAGCCAAAACUAUCUGUAAAUCAACAGCCUUUCUUACACGAUAAAUCUCUUGCAAUUCAAAAAGAAAUAUUCAAUAGAAAACACAAUCAAAACCCCAUUCUAAUACAGAAGCAUACUCAAAAAGCAAAAUUACAAAAUCGAUUAAGAGAUUUAAGAGCUCAAAAGAAUGAAUUCAUAAAGAAAGCGACAUGGAUAAAAGUGGACACCUGAGCUUGGUGGGCUUCGGCUUGCGCCUGUUAGGCAAUGGCUUCUUGACAUCAUCAGCUGGGUAAAACUUAGGUGGUUUCUCGGCAGAGGUAGGGGCUUUAGCUUUAGGGGCAUGUUUAGGGAAAACACCGCCGUUUUUGGCCUUGAUAGCCCACAAACCUCUCUUGUGGUACAUCUGCGACCUCGAGUACUUGCCGAUUCCUCGGACUAGAUCUGGGUUUCUGGUUACCUGUGGUGUCUUCCUGGGAGCCAUUGAUACCGAUUGAGGUCUCUCUCUGUGAAAAAUGGCCACAAACCCUGGUGGAGAGGAUUUAGAGCAAUUAUAUAUGCGGCGUUUUAUAUAGAAAGAGAAAUGGGAGUGUCAGUGAGAAUAAAAAAAACCCUAGAAACCCUAAUUCCGAUAAUUGGGUUUCGGGCUUGGGUUCGGGUUGUGUGUGGUUUAUUUCUACCCUUGGGUGGGCCUGUGUUGUUACUGAUGUUUGGUCUUGGAAUUAUUUGGAUAAAAGAUUUUUUUUUAUUAUAGAAAAACUUAUUUGGUUCAUCAAAUAGGUUAUAAUUUUUGUGUUUGAUCUUUUAUAACACACACAAAAGCUAUAAUAAUAUAUUUUUUAUUUAUAAAAACUUGUUUUUCUAAUUUAUUUUGCAUGGAAAAAAUCCAUCUUAUGAAAAUUCUAAUCAAAUAUAUAUUUUUAAAAAUGCAAUUAAAAUUAUUUUUAUUAAAUAUAUUUUUAACAAAUUUAAUAUUUUUAAAUUUUAUAAUUCUUCUGUCAUGUGAAAUUUUUUUAUUUUUUUAUUUUAAAAUUUCCUUUAAAAAAGUUUAAUCAUGAAUCUAGGAUUGUGUUAGUAAUUUUUUUUUAUUUGAUAGUAAAGUUUAUUUUUAGAUUAGUUUGUGAAUCAAUUAAUAUUAAAUUUUAUUUUUAAAUAAUUUUAAAGACAUAUUUUAACAUAAAUUUGAUAGAUACUAAUUUCAUUAUUUAAAUUUUAAAAUUUAGAAAAACAAAUAUAUUUUUCUAAUAUUAAAUAGUGUUAUUAUAUUUAUCAAUUGAUAAUGUUUAGUUAUUAUUUUGUGAUAUAAAAAACAUAGAUAGUGAUGAUAGAUGAGACAUGUCUUCCUGUAUUUUUUGUUUUAAAAAUACAAAAAUCUAUUCAAUAAAUUAUCAUAUGAAAAUAUAUAUUUUAUAUCUCUAAUUCUAACUUUAUCUAAAUAAACAUAAAUCUCCAUUGUUUUCAUCUUUCAUGUCUUAAAACAAGAAACAAAUGCUAUUAUUGUAUUCAAUUAAGGCUAACCAGGCUCAUUUUACUUAUUCAUCAAUGGAUUUACUAUUCUCGUAAUAAAAAAUAAAAAUAAAAUAUUAUUUUCAUAACCAUAUUCACUAAAUAACAUCAGUUGCAAUAUCAUAAAUCAUAUCAUAGUCUUCAUUUAAUUUUAAAAAACCAAGUAUUAAAGUGAUGUGAAUAUUUUCAAAUUAAAGAUAAAUCUAGAAAAAAAAUAACUUUGAAGUUAACAAAUAAAAACAUAUAACAUGUAACAAAUUAAAAUCCAAUCCUUUAGAGGCAAAUUGGUAAACUAAAACCCAACUAACAAGAUAUGUUAUUUCUACUCUCUAUUACAAAACCCUUUCAUUCCCUCUUAUUAUACAAAGAAAAAUAUCUAAUAAAAGAUGGCAACAAUCUCUUAUUUUUACUAUACUAUUACCCACCUAAAAACUAACUCUUUCAACAAACUAGUUCAAACCCACUUUUCAAAUCCUCAAACUAGCAACUAAUUUUAACCAUUUCCUUAAACUCGCACAUUUACCUAAUAUUAGAAACCCUAAAGCCCCUAAAACAUUCAUUCCAAUAGCAAAAGAAACAACACCAGUUUCUGUAGCAGACCGUUCUUCGGAAGCUACUAAGAGAUCGUAUGUCGGAAAUAUUCCAAGGACUAUAACUGAUAAAGAGCUUACAAAGAUUGUUGAAGAGUAUGGUGUAACUGGAAAAAAAAAAGGUAAUUUAUGAACUAAUGAGUUUGUAUUUCUGAUAAAUUAUUUUUGUGCUUUAAGAAAGCUUAGACCUAAUAUAGGGUUUUAACCUAUUCUAACACAGGUUUAGCGGUUAUGUACUUAGAUCUGGCAAGUUGUCAGACCCAGUACAUUUGAGUUCACCCUUGAGCAAAACCCAAGGCAUCGUGGGUUAGGCAAGCUGUCGGAAAUAAUACAAUUGGAUUCACCUUUCAGCAAAGUCUAAGGUAUUGUGAGUCUGACAUUCUGUCAAACCUAGUAUACAUGGGUUCAACCUUAAGGUGAACCCAAGGUACUAUGAAUUAGAUGUGCUGCUAGAUCCAAUAAACUUGAGUACACUUUUGAAGUGAACUCAGGGUAAUAUGGGUUUGACAAAUUAUUAGAUGUAAUAUAUUUAAGUUCAUCCUUGAGGUGGACCUAAGGUACCAUGAAUCUAGUAUGUUGACAG
RNAcentral lists this long non-coding RNA (53102 nucleotides) under Populus tremula. RNAcentral's name for it is "long non-coding RNA (PTRE_LNC000197)". The record is from RNAcentral. Lineage: Eukaryota; Viridiplantae; Streptophyta; Magnoliopsida; Malpighiales; Salicaceae.